AACUCUUUUUUAAUUUUUAGCAUUAAAAAAUAGAAUUGAUCAGACAAAUACAAAAAUUUUGAUCUUUUAAAAACUAGAUGUAAAAUAUUCAUCUAUAUUAUAAAUGUACAGUUAGUAUAUCUCAUACUAUACUGUAUCCCUAUGGCAUGGCACUUUCACAUUCACUAUACCUCAUGUCAUGUCUCUGACCUGUUGUACAUGUAUUGUCUCCUCAUGACCCUUUAAACAGUAUAGCUUUGUAGACACUCAUGCACAGGAUAUAGUACUAUUGACUGUUGACUAGCAACAAGUUUAAUGAGGUAUACAAUGAGGGUCAAGACCUACAGGGAAAUAAAAAUAAAAACAGGAGAAAAAUUUUGGAAAUAUUUAAUGAUCAAAAUUUUACAUCUGAAUAAUUAGUGCAAUGCUUAUUAACUUCAACUAGUUAACAUAUUCUAUAAAUUUUCUCCAGAAAAGAGUAUAUUCUCCAUUUUAGGAGACAUAUAAUAAUGAGAUAUAUAGAUGAAAAUUAACAUGUUAGCUAUAUAGCUUUUACUUUAGUGUAUACUAGUUUAUUUUGAUAUUGUUUAGCAAAUGAAGAAUAACAUACAAAUAAAAUCAAACUUAAAUCUGUUCAAAAUAUUACAAAAGGAUGAACACCAAGUUAUUUAGAAUUAAUGAGGUAUAUUUUUGAAACUAUAGGAUGAAAUCAUUAGAUAUGAAUAUAAUAAAAUUAUAUUAAUGCCAAAGUGAGAAAUUUACAAGAAAGAGCACUAAGAGAAGGUUGAGUUUUCAAAGUUCCAUAGAUGAUCAUUUAAUUAAUAAAAUUUAAGGGAUACAUAAUAUUAGAAAAUAGAUAUCAUCAAUUCCACUUAGAUGAUAAAUAUAUAGACAUUAAUUAAUAUAGACAUUGCAUGUUAAGCAUAUAUUUAUAACAAUCCCUCCCACAAUUUCCCAAAUACAUUUCGAGUUCCUAAGCUCCUUUUUUUUUUGAGAAAAUUAGUUCCUAAGCUCCUGUUGAUGAAAACCCAAGAAGACAAAAUCAUCAUUUCCAACAAAAUCAUCAUUUCCAAUUCCAUCCAUACUAUGAUACAUUCCCUAACCAUCACAACAAACCACACAACUCAAACAAAAGAAAAUUGAAAAAGAAUAAAAAAAAACCCCACAAACAAGGACAAACCCAUGGCUUGAAUCAUCAUGAUCACCAACAAAAUAGAUGACUAUUCAGCAUCCAAGUCUAUAUUAGCAUUCACAACAACUCAUUCAUUCAAUAGGACUAGCUGAAACAAAAUGAGUCCAUUAUAUAUAUAUAAUAUAUAUGUAAAUAUUAACCCUACACUAAUUAGAGCUCAAUAAUUUACCCCUAAAAAUCAUUCAAACACACACAUAUAUAGGAAACUCUAGGCCUAGUUAAACACCGAUAGUGGUAUCAAACCCCCGGCUGCGGCUGCCGCUGCAUGCGACUCCAUCGCCGCCUCCUGAUCACGACCAUCGACGGGGAGACCGUCGUCGAGUGGCAUCAUAACAUGGCCAUGAAAGUAAUGCAUUGCCCCCUCCGGCUCCCCGUGAGGGGGGGCCGCCGACUGCGGUGUGCCGUCGGCGAGCUGCGGGGGCGACGGCCCCCGGUUGCUGCUGCUGCUACUGCUGCUGUUGUUGUUGGGCCGCUUCCGCUUCUUCUUCACGUAGGCGAUCCCACGGGCCUUGGCUUGGCAAUCGCGGACCUGUUGGAUUUAAAAGCGUUAAAUAUCACUCUCUAAUAGCUUAAGCUUCGAAUCCUACGAAGUUAACAGUCUCGACCAUUCUCUAUCAUUGGAUAACACCUGCAGGAAAAUCACAUGUAAAGCGCAUAGAAAGCAAAUACAUUCUGCUGCUAGUAAGCACUGAGAUCAUUCCUCUGCCAAGCAUAUAAAAAACAAAUACAUUCUGCUGCUAAGCACUGAGAUCAUUCCUCUGCAAAGUGCAUAGAAAGCAAAUACAUUCUGCUGCUAAUGAACGGUGGUGAGAUCAUUAAAUCCUCUGCGCAAAAGUUUGUACGCACAUGGAGUAGUUUCACAAACUUCUUAUAAGUAAGACUUAUUACUUGUAAUGAGCAUGCAUGCAUGACAUUAAUUAAUUACUCUGCACCGUAAGUCGGUCAGAGUCUGCAGCUUAAGCUUUUAGAGUAAUCGGCGGUUUUGUCGCAUGCAUGCUGAGAAGUAGUGAAGAGUGUGUAGUGUGUAGGUGAUUUGGGACCUGGUGGUCGCGGACGUCGUGGAGGAAGAGGCGGACGGCGCGGGCGGCGAAGGGGUUGGCGUCGGGGCGGCCGCCGUGCUCCUCGAAGGCGGCGCGGAGGCGGCCGACGAGGGCGUCGAGGCUGCCCCAGGCCUGGCGGAGGGGGCAGGGGCAGGGGGCCGGCGGGCAGGGGUGGCCGUAGAAGGGGCAGGGCGCGNCUGCAGCUUAAGCUUUUAGAGUAAUCGGCGGUUUUGUCGCAUGCAUGCUGAGAAGUAGUGAAGAGUGUGUAGUGUGUAGGUGAUUUGGGACCUCGCGGAGGUAGAGGCGGACGGCGCGGGCGCCGAAGGGGUUGGCGUCGGGGUGGCCGCCGUUCUCCUCGAAGGCGGCGCGGAGGCGGCCGACGAGGGCGUCGAGGCUGCCCCAGGCCUGGCGGAGGGGGCAGGGGCAGGGGGCCGGCGGGCAGGGGUGGCCGUAGAAGGGGCAGGGCGCGGCGUGCACCUUGGUCUUGCCGAACUGGUCCAGGUACCGGAGGAACUCCAGCACGUGCGCCCCGCUGCACCGCGACAGCGCCAGCGGCGGCCGGUGGUUCCGCAGGUACUGCCCGAACGUGUUCCAGUCCCGCCGCUUCUGCGACUCGUAUCGGCUCGGCCGCACCGCCGCCGACGCUCCCGAGCUGUCCGAGUUCGGGCUCGCCGCCACGCCCCCCGACGACAUGCUGCAUGCAUACGCAUUGCAUUGCCGCGCAUUUGGUUAAUUCAUUCAUUCAUUCAUUAAUUGUUAGAAAAUUAAAUUACAACUUAAACUAGAAUUUAUCCUGACCUGACCUGACCUGACCUGACCUGCAGUAUAUAAUAAGCUUAUGCAAAGAUUUACUUAAUUUUCUACUACCUAUAUAUAUAUAUAUAUAUAUAUAUAAUUGUGUGAUGAUUGUGGUAUAGCUGGAGUUUGAACUAGGGGAAUGACCGAGAAAUUAUAUUAAAUGAUUAUAUAUAUAUAUAUAUAUAUAUAUAUAUAUAUAUAUAUAUAUAUAAAAAUUAAAGAUGAUGAUAAAUAUUGUGAGCAAGUUAUUGAGAUAUAAAGGAGUGAUUAAAUUGCUUUUGGCUAGCUUGAUAAGCAUUUUUUAUUAGCUAUCAAAAUUGAUUAUGUGUAGGUGAUUCUGUAGUAGGGGAAAAGAGAGGAACUGAACAUCGUCUAAUUAAAUGAGGAGUUAAGGCACAUGGGGGAGCUGUGUACAUGUAAGCUAAUGAGGAGUUUUGCAUGAGGUGAUCAAAGAGAACUUGCCUGUUAUAUAAAAGCAAUAUAGGAGAGAGGGAAGGGAUUUGAUCCUUCUUUUAUUUGGCUUGUAAUUAGAUGUAUGGUAAUCUAAUGGUGAACCUUGUAGGAAUCUAGCAAAACCCGAGAGAGAGAGAGAGAGAGAGAGAGAGAGAGAGAGAGUAUUUAAUUUGUAUAAAAUAACAACUGGAUGUUCCUUAUUAGGAAUAAUCAUGACAAAUUUAAGUGCUUUUUUAAAGGACAAAAUUUUGUUGAAAAGAAAGAAAGAUCUUUUCAUGGGACUUACUUGAAAUCCAUGCCUUCUUGAGAACUCAGAGAGGAGUGAGGAAAAAAUUCUUAAAAACAGGUCCAAAGAGAGCCUCACAACUACAUAUCAACCGUGACCCAUCAUAGCCUUUUAGUUCCAAAAUGGAAAUAUCUCCUAAAAUUCCACACACACACACAAAAUCCCCAAACCAGAUGGUUUUAAUGAGAUCAACAAGGGGAGCCUUUCUUGGUGUGAGGAAGCAAAGGGUAGUGCUAAGGAGAAAUAUAUGGAAUAAAGAUAUGUAUAGAGAGAGAGAGAGAGAGACCCACAAUAAAGAAAGACUUGGUAGGUGCAAUAGAUUGAUGAUGGUGAUGAUAAAAGAAGCUAUUAGGGAAUGAGAUCUCCAACACCCAUGCAAACAAACACUUCUACAUGCUAAAAAAGGAUAUGUAUAUAUAUGGAUCCCAAGGUUUGAGCUUCAAGGAGAGGAAUGGGUUAUAUAGAGCUUGGUAGCUAGGUAGCUAGGAAGAGAAAAACUUACCAAGAACACAUAUAUAGUGAAUUGAUCAAGCUAGAAACAAGAUUAUUAUAUGAAUAAAACCAAGUGUUGGGUACAGAUAAGUAUUGAAGAAGAGAUCAUACUGAAGGAGGGAGCUAGAGGGAGACAAGCAACCAAGAAAAGUAAUGUAUGAGAGGGGGAAAAGGAAAGGAAAGGGUAGUGGGUAUGUAUAGAAUUUGACUGAUUGAUAGGUGGAGGAGAAGAGAGAGUAAAGGAGAGAAAAGGAGAGAGAGAGAGAGAGAGAGAGAGAGAGAGAGAGAGAGAGAGGGGGGGAGGGGGGAAGAUAUUCUUUGUAACAGUUAACUCAGUAUAAUAAUAUAUUUUAAAAUAAAUUUGUGCUAUUGUUUUUUAUCAAACCCUCAAUUAUCUUAUUCGACAAAAUAAAAUUAAAUAUUUGUUUUUGGAAUUUGCUAUUAAGCAAAUUUCUAUCCUAAAUCACUACUUGUAAUUAAUAUAUAUACAUAUAUAUUAUUAAUAUAUUAAAUAUCAAAAAAGUCAAAAAUAUCAAAUUUUUUUUUUAUAAACAUACCGGUUGAGAUUAAUAACUUAAUUUUCGACCAAUACUACACCAAUAGUUAUCAUAAAAUAAAACUUAUAGAAUACAUAUACAUAUAUAUUCUAGAGUAAUGCUAUCUGUACUCGUAAAGAUUAAGUGUAAGACUUACAUUCAACUUUUCCAACGGACGCUAUUAUUCUAUUAGGCUUAUUAAUUUUUUCAAUACUCUAUUCUGAAUUUUCAAAUAAAUAUAAUAUAAAAUUAUAUUUAUAUACAGGUAUAUAAAGAUAUAUAAAUAGUAUUUUUCUAUAUUCAAUAUGACACAUUUUUUUUAGAAUAAAAAUUAUCUAAAAAGUCACGAUACCUACUUAUAAGAAUUUGAUUUUUGAUACACGAGGUCACAAAUAUAAAAUUUAGUUCCUAUAUUUUUAUUCGAUAAAAAAGUAAAAAAAUAUAUAGAUAUAUUUUUUUAAGGGAAAAAAAGAAAAAAAGGGAGGAGAGAGAAAAAGAGUGGAGAUUGCGGUUGGGGAAGAGAAGAGGUGGGGGCCAUAACGUAGACAUCCACCUCGUGGGUGUGAUGGCAGGUUUCUGACGAUUCUCCUUCAAAAAUUGCACAAAAUGUCACCUCCGUGAGGAAAGGUGUGGCAUUAAUACCUACUACUACUACUACUACUACUACUACUACUACUACUACUCUGGAUCUCUUCUUUUCCUCGGCGCGAUGUACUCAAUUCCUCGGCUCCCACACCACAUGUGGAGGUGCCUAUAUAGUAAUUAAUUACUAAGUAGUUAGAUAAAGAUUAAAAGUUAAAUCAAUUUUGCAGUCCUAGUUUUGAUACAGAAGGACACGACAAGAGAAAUUUUUUUUUUUUGAGAAAAAAUAACAUGCUACCGUUCCAUUCAUUACGAAAAUGAACUCGGCUACAGAAUGAGGCAACCAAGGCCUCAAGAGGAAAAAAAAUGACUCUUCAGCAUGCAAGAGAAUGACAGCGAAUCCAGAGAUGCGAAAGAGAUCUAAUUUCAGCAUGCAAGGUCUCUAAUGAGUGUUUGGAAUGUACGAAGAUCCUUCGGUUCCGCUCAAGCCAAAUGACCCACGAGGUGGCAGCAAUAGUUGAAAGAUCUCUCCUACCCUCAGCUCCUCUCCGCCAAAAAUGUUGUUUCAUAUAGCUAGUUGUGCGGUGUAAAUCUUAUUAACAUGUUAUGUUAAAUCUCACCUCUCACAAAUUUAAAUUGCUGAGUAUUAAUAGGUGCAAUGCAUAAAUAGUGUUAAAAGAUAAUAUUUUAGUAAAUUUAAAGCAAGGACUCUAAUUUGGUCUGCUAGAAUUAAUGUUUAUUAACCUAACAAGGUAUUGACCGCUUCAUGACAUUUUUGGAUUAUGAUAAAAAGACUUCUAUUUUGUGUGUCGAAAUAUUAAUAAUAUAUAAAAGUAAUAUUGAUGAAAGAGAAAAUAAAGAGACAGAAAAAUCAAAAGAGAAUUUUCACGAGAAAAGUAUAAAAAAAAAGAAAAUAACAUAAGGGAGAAACACGGCACAAAUAAAACAAUACAAGGAACAAAUCAAACCCAUAAGAACCAAUGCCUAAGUUGGUAAGAUCAGCUUUAGCUACAUUAUUAUUAAUCUCCAUCUUAAUUUCAUUCCCCAGCUUAAUAAAAUGGUUACUGCAUGCAUUAUCAUUAAUUAACUAUAUAUAUAUUUUGGAAUCAUGCAUACACAACAAUAUAUUAAUUCAUGCCCUUACCUUUCUCUCAGGAGACACUCUAAUGCACCCAUGAGCCAAACAAAACGCUUGCAAACCUACACCAAACAAGAACAAAACAACUACUAACAACGCAGCACAAUCCCAUGUAGAACCACACUUCACAUUUCUCCUCAUAAAAUUCCUCAUCUUUACUUUCCACCUGCUAUGAUAAUACUCAUUCACAUCCUCCACAAGCUUAUCCAAUCUCGCGACCCUCGUUAGCCUUAUCGAUCUCGUCAUCCCGUUCCAUAGCUCCGCAACCGCUUUGUCGCUCUUCAAAUGGUUCAUUAUGAUCCCUUUCUCCCUCAAGAGUUUCACAUCCUCUUCUGUGUCUAUAAUUCCGUUCAUUAGUUCAAUGUAUCGCGCAAAGAACAGGGGCCUUGACCCUAUCGAUGCUUCGUAUGAAACCAAGUUACGUAACACGAUGUCGGUGUUCACGUCGAGACUAAUCACGGGUAAAUGAAGUGUAGCUUUAUCUACAUUGAACUCAAUUGUCGAGAGAUCACCUUUAGUAGGAGAUAGCUUUAUACCUGCGUAGGCUAGUUCGGCCACCGAAGGGAUCGCGAUCUCUUCGAGUAGCGGUGUCACACUUACAUUGCUUAUUUUGGGGGUUUGAUCCAUUUGGCAAAAGAGAGUUUCCUCAAUAGGGAUUUUUAUGAUUGAGAGUGGUGGAACGUUUGCGAGAACUCUCAACGGAAUUUUCACUACGAAUUUGAUGAUCACCGAUAAAAGUGCUCGAAUUCGGUCGAACACGUAGCUUGUUACCGCGAUCGUAAGCCGUUUGAUGCUACGAAUAAAUCUUUGCACUUCAUUUUCGUCGUGAUCAUCCUUCGGUGUGGUUUCAUAAGGUUCUUCGUGCUUCGGUACAAUGUUACAAUAGAGGAACUCUAACAAGUGUGCGUAUUGUGAGGUAUCGACGCAUGAAGGGUGCGCAAUCUUCUUGAAUGGCGAAAUUUCCCUUGAGAAUCCGACCAACAUCGACGAUAGAAAUUCUACGGCAGGUUCGGGUUGUGGGCAUUGGAUUUCCAUUAUCUUUUGGAGUAGAAAGAGAGGAAUCUGAUUCUCCUGCAUCACUAUGUCACAAAGAAUCAUGUUGUGUGCCGAUGUUCGGCGCGCGGUGUCCACUAAGUGGAUCAUCCUAGAGGGAAUCCUGUGCAUAGUUUUGCCAUGCUCAGUUGUGGUGUAGAUUUGAAGGAAUUCGAGAAGGAACGACGCGUCGAUUGCCAUCAUCCACGCGAGGGUUUCGCCGUUGAGAUUGAGGUACCUGUGAAUGGUGAAAUUGAAAUUGCCACAUUACUUCACAAUUUGGAACUUUAAAUGAUUGAUCAAUGCACAAUUUCAAAAAUAAUAUACUAUAUAUGGAGUUGAAAGCUACCAUUAUCUUAUAAGUUUAAAAAAGUGGGUUUCUUUUGGUAAAAAAGAGAGAUCCUAUAAAUUUAAAAUUUUGUAUUUUUACUCUUUUUUUUUUUAUUAUUAUUUACUUUUAAUUUUUUUUAAAAAAGCCUGGGCCACCUCAAGAAGCCCAAUAAGCCCAUUAUAAACUUUUUGGGCUGGAGCACAAGUGUUAUAUAUCAUUGUCUGGGCUGGUCCACCACAUCAUCAGCGGACCGCCCACUGCCUCAAAAAGAAUGCUUGAGCAUAGAUGCGAUUGGCGGGUCCACAGCUGACUUGGUAAACCACGUUCAUCUAGUAAUUUGGGCCGUACUUGGUUCAUCUCGGACCACUUUUAGCCCGUAUCCAUUCUUUGGACCUGGCCCAAAACUAAUUCCUAAUCAGGUCAGCUAGAACUCUCUGGUGGGCCAACUGAUGCGGCCAAUUUGCUUUAGAGUUCAUGGAAAAGCGCAACUCAACUAAGCUGGACCAAAAAUUUUAUUGAGUUCCGCAACUUUUCGCUCGGAUUUCUAUUUUCAGCGUGAUAUUCCAAUUCAGAAUACACUUUCUGAGAUCUAAAUGUUGACUCGCAAAACCAUCCUACCUGAGCUUGGGACCCAGAUUCACUUGUUUCAGCCUUCGAAUUUGUAUUUUUAAAUUAUUUUUGUGAAGUUUUCUAUAUUUUCUAUUUUGAGUCCGAUUUUUUUUUAAUUAUUUCUAUCAUUUUAGACUAAUAUAUAUAUAUAUAUAUAUAUAUAUAUAUAUAUAUAUAUAUAUAUAUAUAUAUAUUAUGAUUUAUUAUCUUCUGUCGUAAUACGAUUCGAAUAUCGACUCUAUACAAACGUAUCUUUCCGUUAAUAGAAUUAGUUUUUAGAAUUGAUUGAUAACAUGUUUCUCCAUGUCGAAGAGUUGUGUUCUUCGUGUCUCUCUUUUCGUCCUUUUGUCUUUUCCCUCUCAACGCUGCUUAGGCUUGCAUCACCUACUCUAGCCCAAUGGACUCUCUCGGGGUCUGGUCACGCAUGAGUCGAUUAGAGUAUCAGGCCCAUUGGAUCCUCGAGUCGUGACCCGAUCGCAACCGCGUAAUUGGGUCCAAAUGAUAUCUGUAGGAACUGGAACUCCAAGAUGAAGAAGCCACAAUAUAUGUUACCUGUGAUAGUGAGCCCGAAUCCGAAGCUCGAGCUUGCCGAAGAUGGUCACAAUUUGUCGAAAACUCGUGCUAGGGAGUUGGGCUUGGAUUCUGCGUGCCGCGGAGAUUUUGUACCUCUCCAUGUCCCGCAAUUCUUCUCGGCAAUGGUGGUACGGGCCGAUCGCGACGAGCUGAGGAACGUAGGCGUCGGGCUUGUUGCCAAGUAGAGGCUUCGGAACUUCGAAGAUUGAGAUAGGUUGAUCUUCGCCGACUUCGACCUCGUCGUCGUCGAUGAUUCGACGGAUUUGGAUCACCCAUCGGAGUUCAUCGAAAGGAUGGUUCCGAUUCAAGAACAUUUGGAGAGUAAUGUAAUUUUUGUUUACAGUGUGUGAGAUUGUUGAGAAAUGUUUGAGUAGUUUUGUUUAUUCUGGAGUGAAAGAAACUGAAAUCCUAGUUAAUUAUGCAUUAGUACAAGUGUACAAAAGUAACAAAACUAAGAAACUGAUCUUUGGAAAUUAACAUAAAUACAUAAAUUUUCCCUAUAAAUUCGCAUUAAUAAUGAAGCAGGUUUACAUUCAACAUCUAGAGUAAUGAAGUAGGAGUUAAAUGAGUUUUGUAAUACUAGAAUAAGAUUAUUACUCAUUAAUAAAUAUGUAUUGUCCAGUUUUAGACUCUUCUGUAUUAUUUGAUGAGAGACUGUUAGAUGCGACAGUUAUAUCAUAUUUAGAUUUCUGGUAAAUCUACUGUAGUGCGUCCGAAUCCUUUAUAUUACUUUGAAUCUUAUUACAAGCAAUAGAUCUAAUUUUCUAAAUCGAAAUCUAAAAUUUGGUAGGACCUGUGAAGUUUCUUUCAGCUUCUUGGUACCACCUUAGAAUGCUUCUUUGAGAAGCAAUUUUAAGUUACUUUUGAAGUGUGAUCAACCUUUCCAAACUUUUAUGGGUGGGGAAGCAUAAAGGGACUGACCAUAAUUCAAAGGUAAAAAAAAAGAAAAAAAGAAGAAAAAAAAAAAGGCAUGGACUUUUUUUGAAACCAUAGAUGGUAUGACACCAAGCAAUAUACCUAAAAAGGUCAUAAACAAACAAAUGUGUCACCCCAUUGACUAGAUUGGCCCAUUAAUUAAAUUAUAAGCAUCUUUGCUUGGUUUUAAAAAAAAAAAAAUUAAGGAAAAAAAGGAAAAAAGAAAAAGUUCCCUCAUUUAUCAUGUGAUGCACCUCACCUUUUCUUUUUCUUUUUCUUUUUCUUUUCUUUUCUUGGUUAAAAUUUCAUAAUUUAAUACCCUUUCAAUUACAGUCCAUUUUUGUUAUACACUCCUGACUAUAUAUAUNAUAAUUAGUCUGGAAUACUAUUAAUAGUAAAAUACUUUUUUUACUAUCAAGUUUUUAACUCUUGGAUGAAAAAUUGUAGGGUCGGGAUGAUAUUAGUCAAUUAGAGUUGAAUGGUCCCCCUAGUGUUGAGUGGUCCCCACUGGGUUAUAGUAUUUAAUCUAAUGGUUAGAAAUAAUGAAAAGAGUUGAUCCAAAGGCUAAAAAACUGGUAGCAAUAAUAGAAUUUUGCUACUAAUAGUAGCCCAGUCCAACUAUAUAUAUAUAUAUAUAUAUAUCAAUAUUUUUAAAUUUUACUUUUAACUAUCGGAGCUGGUUAAAGUGAGAAUUUUGUUAAAUUCAACAAUUAUACUAGCUAUUAGUUUGUUAAGUACCGGUAAAUUCAUUGUCCACUCAGCUAAAAAUAGUUAUUAUGAAAAUUUGAUAAAAUUCUAAAAUAAACAAAAUAAAAAUAGCUCAAAAUUGAGAAAUAUCAAAUAAUUUAAAAGAAAUUAGGGAUUAUUCCAAAGUAGCAUGUAGAUGAGUGGAUCUUCACUCUUUUAUUCUUUUUGGGGAUUAAUAUUUACUAUUAUGCAUCUUGUGAGUUAGAAGUAUCACAAGUUCUCUUUGCCUUCUCUCUCUCUCUCUCUCUCUCUCUCUCUCUCUCUCUCUCUCUCCACUUCAAAUAAUAAAGCAAAGAAAAGUUAGAAAAGUUACAAAGGAAUGUGCCAUGGCCUUUGAUGAAACUCACUUUUUCUUAUCCUCAUCAACAGUAAAGAUUAGGCUACAAACAAAUAUUGUGUCUCAACCAAAUCCAAAGCAGCAAUUAAUCAUGACCCACUUUGAUCUGAUCCAAUUCUGACUCAAUUUAUAUUUCAAAUUUUAAAUUUUUAGUUCAAAUUGGUUCAAGUUAUAGCCUCGUGACAGGUGAAAUAUGAAAAUGUUAGGUCAAUUUAGAUGUAGUUUGAAUUUUACAAGCUCAAUUUUAACCAAAUUUGACUAAAUAUUUUCACAAGCACUACAACUACACAUAAUGUUUAGAUACUAACUUUAACAACUUGCAUAAGUAGGAGAGAUGAUAGAUGAAGGCCUCUACUUAAACCAAUCUACAAAAUGUUGAUAUAGAUAUUGAAAACAUCGUUACAAUAACUUAAACUUUUAAAGAAUAAUAAUAAUCACACGUUAUUUAACAUGACAUUUGUAACACCAUAAUAGUUCCAUGUUGAAUAAAAAAAUAAUUCUAAUUGGAAUAUAAGAGAUCUCACACAUUAAUAAUAAUAAACUGGGUUUAAGUUCAUAUUUUGUACCGGUUUGGACCCAACGAGUUAUUAUUGCUAGCAGGUCAGAUCAUUAUAAUUAGUAUUAGAGAUAAAUACUAGCAGAAAAUGUAAGAGUUAGGCAAAGUGUGCUACACCAAUAGGUUUGGCUGCUAUACCAACGGGUCUUGAACUCGUACCACCGUUUGGUUGGGAGUUAAGGGGUGGAAUAACCCCUUAACCCCCAAUUUAUACCCAAACACCACUCUUAAGGGGUGGGGUUAGUAAACCCCACCCCAAACCGGGUUAGUGGGGUUUACUAACCCCACUCCCCCUCCCAACUUUAACCCCGCAGGCAUCCCGAGCCCUCACAUUUUUCUUCUUUAUCAAUCAUUAUCUUCUUAUCCCACCUACUCCAACCAAACACUUUUUUUCACUAUUCUAGACUAACUCCAACCUUCAACCAAACACAAAAAAAUUUUAACAUCAUUUUAACCAUGAACUUAACCCUAUCCCUGGAAUAGCUAUUUUUUCUUAACCCCGAACCAAACGGUGGCGUAGGAGCUAGUCAUUUUUAGAAUCUUAUAUCACCUGAUAAUUCUAGUAUAUAUUGUCUUGGCUGCUACACCAAUGGGUCUUGAACUCGUAGAAGUCAACUCUAGAAUCUUACAUCAUUAGAUUAUUCUGGUAUAUAUCGUCUAUUCUGCAUAAUGCUCUAAUAGUACAGAAAAAUGAUUGGAUGAGUUUGUAACGCACAAAUAAUCCAAUGAAAAAAUAAUUUUGGUUGAAAUAUAUGAGACAUGACACGCGAAUAAUAAUAAACUGAGCUUAAGUAUUUUUGGCGAUUAGAUUAUUUGGGCAACAACAUUAGAGCAGAGCAUCACAAUUUUAUAAGGCACAUUCUUAUAGAAUUUUUCGUCCUCGUAAAUGAACUGUAGUUGCGUAAUAGGGGAGACUUUAAUAGAAAAGGGUUAUCUCCGUGUUAGGUCACCGACAAAUUAACAAGCAUCAUGCAACUUUUUUUUUUCUCUCUCUCUCUCUCUAUUUUUUUUUUCUUAUAUAUAUANUAUAUAUAUAUAUAUAUAUAUAUAUAUAUUCUUUCAAACUCUUUUCUACUUCUUAUCCAUGUAAAACUAUUCCAAGAUUCAAUCACCCUCUACUUUCCUUUUUUCUUUUUUUCCCUUUUUUUUUCGUUUUUGGUAUUGAUGUGUAGAAGCACGUGGCUUUAAAUUCUUUUAUCUUAUUUUUAACUAGGAUGGUAUAAACUAAUAAAAGAAACGUAAGUACGAGAAAAUAUACACCAGAUCUUUUCUUAAACCAAAAAAGAAAAAUAGAUAGUUGUCUACAGACUAGGUUCUUUUAAAUUCGAUUAUAGAUGCUAUGAAAUAAAAUUUUACACCUUUUACGUCAAGGUGUUAACGAAAACAGAAAAAAAUAGUAUCACCAUUUAUCAAAAAACGUUAUAACAAAUUAUAAAUUUUACUGUUUAAACUCUCUAUAAUUAGUUAUAAUUUAUAAAUAAUCCUGGUCCGUAAGCAAGGUCCACGCAUUAAAAUAUUCAAACAAAAUAAUCAUAUACUUUUUUUUUUUUUCAUUUUUUGCGUCUCACCGACCAAAUAUUAUUUUGGGGCUCGAAACGUUUACAUGUGCCGUGCCGACCAGGUCUUGUGACCGUAACAGAAACAAUUCCAAAAAUAUUUAUUUAAUAUUUUUUUCCAAAACAAAAAAAAAAUUUCCUAAAUUUUGGACCACGUUAAAACAUGCAUGUAUUGACCCAACCAAUUGGACCUUAAAAAAGAUAAUAUAUAAGUUAAAAAAGGGAUGAAAUGUUUGCAUGAUCCAUCUACUAUUCCUAUAUGACAACUUGGUACUUAAUUGCACUUUCGAUUUAAAUAAUUAGGUUAAUUUUAUACAGGUCCCUACAAAUAUAGUGAAUUAUAAAUAUAUUCCUAUAAAGUUCAACUUUUAUAUGUUAUUCCUGCAAAGGUUCUAAUAUUUUCAAAUAUAUCAUUCGGAUUUGUUACCGUUAAAAUACUAUUUAUUUUAUAAGUGAAAUGACCUUUUUACCAUCACAAAUAUAUCCCUCCAAAAGUUUCAAUUAUUAAUUAAAGAGGGAUAAAAAUGUCAAUUCAUCUCAUUAACUAAUUAGGGUUAAGCAUUUUACUUAUGAUUAACUAAUUUUUUCUAACGGAUUCUAAUGACAGAGACAUAUUUGAAAAUAUCAUAAUUUUUGCAGGGACAACAUAUAAAAGUUGAAUUCUGUAGGAAUAUAUUUAUAAUUCACUAUAUUUAUAGGGACAUGUAUGAAAUUAAUCCUAAAUAAUUUAUAUCCGAACUUUGACAUACACUCGUCGGGCGCAAUAUCGAGAUUGUAGAGGGACUAUGUACACAUUUUGUGCUUUUAAAAGGACAUGGAAGUGAAUCUUGUGGAGCCAAAUAAGAUAUCCUAUUCAGACCAAACCGGCCUAGCUAAUUGGAUAGCAAUUUGAGUCAAAAUCAUAGCCUCAUUUUUAGGGCUUAUUCAAUUUAAAAUAGCGUUACUCUCUACCCUUGGCCACAAAAAAGUGUCACAAUAUUGUUUUCAGUCUCCUAAGGGGAGGCCAUGAUAGAAUUUAUGUAUUAAAAAAAAUAAAGGAUAAAAAGAUGCUCACCUUGAUCCGAGUAUGUGGAGUUGUUUUCGAUUAUAUGAUCCUAACUUGGUGUAACACCACGUUAAAUUGCGCUAAAUAAUUAAGUAUAUAUUCAUGCAUACAAGGUUUCACGAAUAUUAUUGUCACAUCUAUAGUUUGAAAAUGUGAUCAGGAGUCGCUAUUUUGAGAGCUUAGACUUUGUAUCAUUAGGUCGUUUUGGAAUAGAUUGAACAAAAGCGAUGGAGUUUAUGUUGAAAUUUUAUAAAAAACUAAGAUUGUACCUUUUAUCAUGAUUUCGAUUUCUGUACCCGAAUUAUUGACGGUGAUUCUUUCUUGUAGUUCGUCCUCGUUUGCGAUCUGCAAAGUAGCAAAACGUUUCGAGUCUAAUUCUCUUAUCCUCGGAGAUGGAGCCGUCACAGACAAUUGGAUUAGGGUUAGACCGGGACUCCCGUAUGUUACAUAUUUAUAUAUAACCUAAUCAUAAGAUCUAUCGUAUCUUUAUAGAUCGACUUAAAUAGAUUGACUGUAUCUAUAUGGAUCGCCUUAAAUAUAUAUCACGUGGGCCACAUCCAACAGUUUACCAAUAUCUUUUAAAAGAUUCGUCGAAAAGAAGUAUAAUUUCGACUUGCUUAUUAUCUGAAAAUAAAAGCUUGUUUUCGGCCUCGAUGUUGUUUUUAUUUUUCGAUUAAAGUAACUAUUCUCAUUUUUGUUACAUGCCUACACUGAUACACUCUUCAAAUAAAGACAUUGUGUUUCCUUUUUCUUGAAUUAUUGUUAUAUAUUUUAAUUAGAAAUGACUCUCCACAAUUUGAGUUUCUUUUUUUGUUUUUUAAAAAAUGGUGUUCUUGAGAAAGCAUAUAUUGAAAAAAGAGCAUAUAUUGAAAAAAGAGGAUCUCCAAACUUAGUCAUUAUAUAUUGAUUGAAUUUGACAAUAUCUGAUAAAUAUAGUUUGCCCAUAAUAAAAUGAAUCAGUUAGUUCAAAAUCUAGUUGUUUUAUAUUUUCUGCUAGGCUCAUUUGAAAAUGUUGUUGUUUGAUUUGCUCUUAUACCAAUUGUUGGAACUAGUAUUUGUGCUGAUACCAAUUAUAUAACUUAAGAUGUAAAAUCGAAUAAAAUAAUAUGGAGUAGAGAUAUUGGAGGAGGAAGAAAAUAACUAAACUAAUACUUUAUUAAUAAAAGGCAAAAUUACAUUCUGAUACCAAUUGUUAGAAGCGUAAUUUUCUCUAAUACCACUUGUUGUUGUUUGAUUUGCUCUAAUACCAUUUGUUGGAACGAAAGAAGUAUAAAACUAAAUCUUUAUUAAAUAUUCUUAGACUAAAUUUCUAUGGUGGAUAAUUUUUCACACAUUUAUAGCCGUCUAUAUACAGGCAUAAAUCAAAAUUCUAAUAACAAUAAUUAAACAAGAUUUAAACUUAUCUCUUAUGUCUAACCAACAAAAUAUUAAGAGAUAAACUUGACAGAAAUAAAUCUAAAUUAAUAAAAAAUAUUGGGUUACUUAUCAACAGAAAAAGAAAAAAGAAAAAAGAAUGAAGCGAAAAGCAUAUUACCUUUUUCUUUCUAAAAAAAAAAUGAAUCAAUUAAUAUCAUUAAUUUCCAAAAAUGAAAGAAAAAACCUAACUAUAUAAUUGCACUAAUAAUAGGCAAUUUUACUCUAAUUUGUGUGGCUUUGAACUUUCUCUAAUUCCUCAUUUCUCUUCCCUUCUAGUGGGGCUCUAUGCAACUAAAUAUAAAUUAAUUGCAUCAACCCCACCUGAUCCCUUGUGUUUUCACAAUAAAAGGAGACAUCAAAUGUGGGGUUUCUCCACUUUCUUGUUUUUUUUUUUCACUUUUUUUGUUUUUUCUUUUUAAACUUUUUUUUUUUUCUUUUAAUGGUCCCCUCCUCAUUAUUAACACUAUUUAAAUUUAAAAGUAUUGCAGGGAUAUGUAACCCUUUGUUAGAGAACCAACCAUUUUGUUUAUUUCCUUAACUCCUUUCUUUCUUUAUCUUUUCUCUCAUUCAAUGAUUGUUUGCCAAAUCUUAACAACAUAUGGUUUAGUUUCUUAGCAAUGAAGAUAAUGACCAACUCCACCAACUAUUAAUUCUAGAGUAUUAAAUUAUUUUAACACAUCGUUUAAGGCAUAAAUGUUUAAAAUUAAGUAGGUGAAUCUCUCUCUCUCUCUCUCUCUCUCUCACACUCACACACACACACACACACAUUUAAAAGCUUAAAGGAUUUAUCAAAACUCAAACACAAGGCUUUUUAUGGUAAUAUAUACUAUAUUAACAAAAAUGUAAAAAUUUAUGAAUGAUUUUGCGUGAAUUAUUGUUUGUUGUUCAUUAGCGAAAAUAGUUAUCGCUUUUGUUCGAAGACUCUGCAUCAAUACUUUUGUAUGAAUUUUUAGUAUACCAUCAAAGUAUUGAUAAAGAGUUCGCUACAUAAUAAGGCUUACUUUAAUUAGAUCUUAUUGAAAAAUAUUAGGUAGAAACUAAUUAAGCUCUUUUAUUAUUAUUAUUAUUAUCAAUCCAUUAACUUGCCAACUCCCAUUAUGAUGAGAUCAUAAGUAAAACAAGAUCCUGGACAAAAGAAUAUACUUUGGUUUCAGUUUUCAACCUCCAUUAUUAAAGUUCACCAAUUUAUUGUACUUGAUGGUCAGCUUCUAGAAACAUCUAUGUUACUCUACCUAUUUUAUUACUUAGUACUCUUAACUCCACAGUACUAUAUCCAUUGGAUUCUUCUAUAGUUUUUUUUUUCAAAAAAAUCUCAUUAGAACUUUUUGUAAAUUAAUUUUCUAUUUGAAUAAAAUUAUUUGAUAAUUUUAAAUAAAUAUCUUAAUAUUAUUAGUUAUUGUAGGAAUAAAUGCUUACAAUCACAAUUAACAUAGCCAAUAUGAUUAACGCAGUCAAUCAAAAAUCGGUUAAUAAUUUUAGAAAUUAAUACCAAUAAUGAUGUUUUAUAUCGUCAUAUAAAAAAUUUUCUCUUUUUGAGCAUCACUCCAGAUAUCUUAGAAUAUUAUGUUUAUAGAUUGUUGUUGUAUUGAUAUAGAUAAUGUACGUUUUUUUUAUUAUUUUAUGCAUUUUGCUUUUUUUUUUUUUUUUUUUUUUUCUUGGAGAAACAAUGUAUUCACUUAUCACCAGAACACCUAACUCACUGAAAAAGAAAAAGAAAAAAUCCUAUAUUUUUCCUUGUUCUAUUCCGGUGGUGUUGCAUGGACCUACAACUAUAUAUUAUGCAGGGGAGAAACAAAACUACUGAAAUAAGAGAGAGGAGAGAGAGAGAGAGAAAAAAGUCUACACAACUAAAAUCAUCUUCCUCCCUCCCCCUCCCCUUCUCUCUCUCUCUCUCUCCUCUCUCUCUCUCUCUCUCUGUUGUUUGUGUUUGUGUUUGUGUUUGUGUUUUGUUUGUGUAUGUAUGUUUGUGAUUUGAGUGUAUACCAAUCCCAUAUUUUUCUUCUGGGAUCCUUUUAUUUUACACCAUAAAACUAAAAAAAAUUUAGAAAAAAAGGGAAAAAAUCGCAUAAAAAUCCGACCUUUCUCGCUCUUUUUGCUACUCUCUGAUCUUAAAAUUCAGGAAAAGGAAAAAAAAAUCGAAUAAAAAUCCGACCUUUCUCACUUUUUUUGCUACUCUCCGAUCUCAAAAUUCAGAAAAAAAUUGAAUAAAAAAUCGACCUCUCUGAUCUUUUUCCUAUAACACCCUAACCCUAGAUCGAAGAUCAGGGCCUUUCUCUCCUGGGUUUCGAGUUCGAGGGUUCUAAAAGCAUGGCGCGGCUCGAAGAAUCCGUCCCUAGUUAUGGAUUUGCGAAUUUGAGUAAAAGCUUCUCAGGUUGGGUUUCAUUUCGAUUUGUUUUAGAGCUAAUUUUGGUGUAUUAGUUCUCUAGAUCUACUAUUGCGGCUAAAUUUGAUAAACAGUUUGGUUUUCUUUUUUGAUUAAUUUGGAAUUGUACUGGUUGGAUUGGAUCCGUAAGAAGGUUUAAAUUUUUGUUUUUACUGUGAUUUUUUUCUCCUGUUUCCCCAAAAAGCUUGCUUUUUUAUUGUUCUGUGUUUGUGUUUUCAACAGUAUAGAUAAUUAAUAAAUAUUCAUGUAUCCCCUCAACUACAGGUGAUUCUGAAGCGAAUCCCUUACUAUUUUUUAUGUUUUUUUUUUUUUUUAAAUUUACACCUCUUCAACUUUUGGUUCUUUUGAUUUAUUAAAUUAGAGAUUCUGUCGAAAGUAGCGAUUAUUAUUCAGUUAAAUUUAACUAUAUUGAGCAUUUUUCAGCUAAUGGAACUGUAGAUUCGUGUAAUAUCUAACAUUAAUUUUAGCAAAUCCCAAUUUAUUUUAGGAAAAGUAACUCAAAAGCAAAAUAAUUAGCAACUGCGGAGGUAUCAGCUAAGAAAAAUAGUUGAGUGGUACGUUUCAAAAAAAUCCUCUGUGUGAUUGUAUUCUAUAAUGAGCUUUUAAUUAAUCUUAUCAGUAUAAUGCAAAGUGUUAGUGUUCCUGGCCUUGGAAUUUUAGUUUUGGCAUCUGAUCUUAUCUAAUGGAUUUCUUGUUCUCCUUUACAGAUGCCGCUCAAUUCGAUGCUUCGCAGUAUGAGUUUUUCGGCAAGGAUGUCGCGGAGGAAGUUGAGCUGGGCGGAUUGGACGAUGCUGCCGAUGGCCGGGAUGGUGCUCUUGGUGAUGAAGAGGAUCAAUUUUCUUAUCUUGGGGAUAGAGCAGAGGUUAAUCUCUUGGCCUGCUGAUCUGCGCACAAAUUUAAGAGCUCUGGCACUAGAGAUCUAAAUUUAAGAUCAUUUUGGAACGAUCUCUGCUUUAGAGAGUAUAAACUAAUGAGAUGUUGUUCGUCGAAGAGAAGUGGUGGUACAAGGCACCAUUGUAACACCUUUGAGUUAAAGGAUUGAUUUUUUUGAAUAAUUGUUUCCUAUUUCUGCACCCUCUCCCCCGAAGCCCCCGUCGCUCGCGUGCUUGCUUUCUUUCUUUGAUUGAACAUUCAUGAAUUUGUUACCUAAGAGCUGACCGGUCGAUUAACUUUUUUUGCUUUGGCUAAAUUUUCAGGACGAAGUUUUAGGCUCUUUGUCUGAUGUUGACGACCUCGUAAGCACGUUCUCAAAGGUCAGUUUUUCUGAAUAUUUUGUGUCAUAUGUUAAUGCAAAUGUACGCUUUAUAGUUUUCGAAAUUUGUCUUCUUCAUGUUUAUGGUUCGUACUUCGGCACAACAUAGGAAAGCUGUGUUCUUUUUACAUUAUUCAUUAACUUAAUAGUAUAUUAUGAGUUUUCAAACUUCAUCAACUUGGUUAGAGAUGAGACCGAAGCUUGUUUUCCUUAAGCCAGAGCUUGAAUUUUCUAAAUUUUGGCUUGAUAGAUCCUUCUAUUUAAAUUCUCGAGCUUUUCAUUAAUGGACUAGUUUAUUUGUCUCUUUCAGUUGAACAAAAUUGUUAGCGAACCAAAGCGCACGGCGGUACUCGGUCACAGAGGAUCAUUUUCUAGAGAAAGUGAGUAGUACAAUUUUGCUCGAGUCUAUUAUCUUCGCCUUUUUUAACGUUUGGAAAACUACCAUGUGGCUCCUUUUCUCGUGGGUAAAAUUCUAUAGUUAGUAACGCAUAACAUGCUUUAAGCUUAACAUCUGUCUUUAUGCAUGUUUAUUGUUUCAUUAAUCUGUUUAUUAAACUGAUUUUCAUUCCUUGCUUGAUCACAACUUAAAUUGUUGGUUUAGGUUCUACUGCUACGGACUGGGCACUGGAGCCGGGCUUUUCCAACUGGCUCGAUCAGCAAAUAUUAGGCGCUGAUAACGCCCAGGAUGGGAAACGAUGGUGGUCUCAGCCACACCCUUCAUCUUCUUCAGCUCACUUUCGACAACGCCGGCCUUUGUACAGAACAUCUUCUUCCCCUCAACAGCAGCAACUAUACGAUCCAAAUGAGCCCAUUCCUGUACCCAAGUCACCUUAUAAUUUGUAUCCUCCGCGUCAAGAGCUACCCCAAACUUCUCCAAAUAACUUGCACCACAGAAAUAUCCGGUCACCUCCGCAGAGAUAUCCUUCCCUUUCUUCUCAGAUCUCUUUGGCGGGAAUACCUCGUGGGCCGCACUAUGGAGGACACCAACUAGGCUCGGCAUACUAUACCCCUUUCUUGCCCAAUUUGAUGCAGCAACAGAACAGUUUAAUGCCGCCUCAGUUGUUGCUGGCACGACAGCAAAUUCGGUUUAACCAAGUUCAACCGUAUUUACCGCACUUGAAUUCUCCGCCAGAGACGAUGAAUAGGUUCUCUCCGAUGCAUGGCAUGGCCGAAAUGAGUGAUCCACGAGCCAAAUCAAGACAAGUUGGUAAUGGGCGGCCUCGAUUUCAGUCUAAAUACAUGUCGGCUGAAGAGAUUGAAAGCAUUUCGAGGAUUCAACAAGCUGCUACUCACAGCAGUGACCCGUACAUUGACGAUUACUACCACCAAGCUUGUUUAGCCAAGAAAGCCUCAAAUUCGGAAACGGCACAUUAUUUUUGCCCAAAUAUUACUAAAAGUAAUUCUUCUCAAUCUCGGGGUAAGGACGAUCCCCAACCGUAUCUUCAUAUAGAUGGUCUUGGUCGGCUUCCCUUCUCUUCGAUUAAAAGGCCUCGCCCUCUUCUUGAAGUCGAUCCCUUCUCUUUAUCUGUUGAAAAUAAAUGUUCUAUGAAGCCUCUCGAGCAAGAGGCAAUGCUAGUAGCGAGGAUCAUUAUUGAAAACGGCUUUGCCCUUCUCCUCGACAUAGACGAUAUCAAUCGAUUGCUGCAAUUCACCCAGCCGCAAGAUGGUGGUUCCCAACUGAGAAAAAGAAAACAGCUCCUGCUAGAAGCCCUGGCUGCGUCGCUACAUUUAGUUGACCCGUUCGCCGCUGGUAAAGCAAUGAAUUCUGUGGGACUAACCCCAAACGACGACCUUUUGUUCCUUCGAUUGGUUUCUCUCCCUAAAGGUCGGAAGCUUCUUUCUCAAUACCUUUGCCUUCUGACACCGGGCAGCGACAUUGCUCGCAUAGUUUGUAUGGCUAUUUUCCGCCAUUUAAGGUUUUUAUUCGGCAGUUUACCCUCCGAUUCUGGUGCGGCCGAAACCACGAGAAAUCUCGCGAGUGCUGCGUCUACUUGUAUUCGUGGUAUGGAUCUUAAAUCCCUAAGCGCUUGCCUAGCAGCCGUCGUGUGCUCCUCCGAACAGCCGCCCCUCAGGCCGCUCGGAAGUGCUUCCGGUGACGGGGCUUCAGUUGUUAUCAUAUCCACUCUAGAGAGAGCGACCGAACUUUUAACAAAUUACCAUGCUGCUGCCGAUUACAGCGCACAAAACCGGGUUUUGUGGCAGGCGUCAUUUGAUGCUUUCUUUGGGCUUCUCACAGACUACUGCAAGAGUAAAUACGACUCCAUUAUGCAAUCCUUGGCUGUUCAGAAUCCCUAUGGCGCUGACGUUGGCUCCGAGGUAGCAAAAGCCGUUAGCAGGGAGAUCCCUGUCGAGCUUCUGUGGGUGAGCCUUCCUCAUACCAACGAGCAGCAGCGUAAGCUGUUACUCGAUUUUGCUCGGCGUUCGAUGCCUGUCACUGCAUAUAAUGCUCCCGAGGCAGGUAACGGACCGAUAACUCCCGAGUCGGUGCAUGGUUAGUUCACCCUAGGUGGUACGGUGAUUGCGAACGAAAGGACAAAAAAAAAAAAAAAAAAGNAUGGUUUGGUAAAAAUAUAAGCAAGUUGUAGAGAGGAUGGAACGUAACGAGUGAUAAUAGAACCGAGGGCAACCUUUUCCCGCACAAAGUGAUAGUCGAUCUCAAUAUCCUUGGUUUGAGCAUGAAAGACUAGAUUAGUUGUGAGAUGCAAAGCAGAUAUGUUGUCGAAAAAAAGUAGGGAAGGUCGAGGUUGAGAAAUGCCAAUAUCACGUAAAAUAUGCGAGAUCCACGUGAGUUCAGCAGUUGCUGAGGCGAGGGCCCGGUAUUCGGCCUCGGCCGUGGAUCGAGACACAGUAGGCUGCUUCUUUGCGCACCAAGAAAUACAAUUAGAACCAAGAAAAGAACAAUAACCUGUAGUAGAUCGACGCGUAAGUUUGCAUCCUGCCCAGUCCGCAUCAGCAAAGGCGAAUAAGUCCAGCGAGCUACGAGCUAGGAUGCGAAGCCCUAGAUGUAGACUUCCCCGUAAAUAUCGGAGUAUCCGCUUUACUAAUUAGUAAUUGGCAUUAGUAGGAGCAUGCAUAUGCUGACAGGCGACAUUGACCGCGAGUGAGAGAUCCGGGCGAGUAAUGGUGAGAUAUUGAAGAGCACCGACAACGCUUCGAUAGUGCGAGGGGUCACUAUAUAGUUUGUCUCCUUCCUUAAGUGGAGGUGGUUUAGAGGUCAUAGGGGUGGCAAUGGGCUUGCAUUGCUCCAUAGAAGCCCGAGUUAAGAUAUCAGAAGCGUAUUUUCGUUGUGAGAGAAAUAAACCAUUUGAAGAGCAGUGUACUUCAAUUCCCAAGAAGAAAUGUAGAGAACCCAAAUCUUUCAUAGGAAAAACCUGACCAAGAGCAAAAAUAAGUCGAUCUAAAAGUUGGUGCGAGUCACCUGUGAGAACAAUAUCAUCCACAUAGAGAAGUAGAAUAAUAGUAUGAUUGUCAUGACGAUAGAUAAAUAAUGAUGGAUCGAAGAUACUACAAACGAACCCAUAACCAAUCAGAAAGUCACUGAAUUUGUCGAACCAUGCCCGAGGAGCUUGCUUGAGCCCAUACAGUGCGCGCCGAAGUAAACAGACAUGAUCGGGAUAAGUCGGGCCACGAAAACCAAGUGGUUGCUCCAUAUAAACCGGCACUACGAGGUCGCCAUGUAAGAAAGCGUUUUUAACGUCCAAUUGACGAAUCGGCCAAUGUCGAACAGUAGCUAUAGUGAGUACGAUACGAAUAGUACCCGGCUUUACGACCGGACUGAAUGUCUCAAGAAAGUCGACCCCCUCUCCUGAUGGAAGCCCUUGGCCACAAGGUGGGCUUUAAGUCGAUCUAGUGACCCAUCCGCAUGGAGUUUUGUCUUGAAGACCCAUUUACAUCCGAUGACAUUCAUCGAGGGACACCGUGGAACAAGCUGCCAUGUUCUAUUUGUUGCAAGAGCGUCCAAUUCCUCACGCAUCACUGCUGUCCACCCAGAGUGCUUAAGAGCCGAUUGGACAGUGUGCGGUUCGAGAGGAAUUGAUGAUAGGGCAAGAUUAGCAUACCGUGGGUUAGGCUUGAAAAUUCCGAUCUUGGAGCGGGUCACCAUAGGAUGCAUAGAGGAAGUGGCCACUUCUGUCGCAGGUGGUGCGGCAUCGACUGGAGGCAUAGACGAAGAGCUGGGAAGAUCAGCAGGUUGCAAGUUUGUUGUAGUAGUUGUAACCUCAUCGGAGAAUAAUCGAGCAACUUCUCUUGAGUCAGUUGAAUCAAAUAGAGAAGUUCGGCUAGAUUGAGUAGAGUCAGUAGAGCCGAGAGUGGAGCCCCAAUGCAAGAGAUCCCCGAUAGAAGUAGCAGCGAUCUGAGAGGAAGUAGCAAAUGGAAAGUAAUGUUCAUCAAAAAUAACAUGUCGAGAAAUAUAGAUACGACCGGUAGAUCGAUGAAGACAGCGAUAACCCUUGUGUUUCUCACUGUAGCCUAAAAAGACACAAGGCAAUGAUCGUUUGUCGAAUUUAUUCACCAUAUAACUGCGAAGAUAUGGAAAGCAACAAGAUCCAAAAGUACGAAGAUGUGAAUAGUCGGGAUCCUUUUUGAAAAGAACUGAAUAUGGACUUUUCUUGCCUAGUGCUGCAGACGGAAGCCGAUUGAUCAAAUAAUUAAUAGUGGUGAAUGCCUCCACCCAGUAGCAGUAGGGCAUUGAGGCCUCAAAUAGUGCAGCGAGUCCAAGUUCCACAAUGUGGCGAUGCUUCCUUUCUGCAACACCAUUCUGUUCUGGUGUGCUCGGACAUGAAAGUUGGUGUUGGAUGCCGCAAUUGCGAAGAUGAGAAAGAAAGGCAUUACUAAUGAAUUCACCCCCGCCAUCCGAUUGAAAAAUUUUAAUUUUUCUUUCAAAUUGAUUUUCAACCAAUUUUUGAAAGGUGAGAAAAAUAUCCAAAAAAUCUGAUUUGCGCUUCAAUGGAUAUAACCAACAGUAACGAGAAAAAUCAUCAAUAAAUACUACGUAAUAUCGAAACUGUUGCAUUGAAGAUACCGGCGCUGGUCCCCAAAUAUCACAAUGUAAUUUAUUCAAAGGAAAAGAACAUCGAGAAUUAGAUAUAUAGAAUGGUAAUUUUGAACUUUUGCUGAUCUGACAGCUUGUACACAAAGUGCCAGAAGACUUAGCUACUGAAAUUAAAUUAUUACUCCGCAAAUGCUGCAAGAUUUGGCUAUUCGGAUGGCCCAAUCGACGAUGCCAAGUGAGUUCAUCGGUCGCCUUAUUUCGCUGAGAGAAGAAGGCUGCAAGCUGCGGAUCUUUAUUGGUGUACAACCCUUGAUGAUUAUUUCCUGUCAUUAAUACUUGGUGUGUCUUGGAAUCCUUAAUAGAAAAACCAGAUGCAUCAAAUUUAAAAUAACAGGGAUGAUCUGUUGUCAAUUUGGAAACAGAGAGAAGAUUUUUCUUCAUUUGCGGGACAACCAGGACAUUAGAAAGCGAAAAGCGAUGAAUACCAUUACCAAAAGAGCCCGUACCCACAUGAGUAAUCGGUAGGGAAGUUCCAUCUCCUACUAUCACACUAUCAGAUCCAGAAUAAGGAACCAAGUUAGUAAGGUUACCUGGCUUAUCUGUGAUAUGAGCAUUGGCACCAGUGUCGGGAUGCCAUUCAUCAUCAUGCACAUCAGUGAUAUGGAGAGAAGCUAGACCACGGGGAAUGUCGUCACUUUGAUAGCUGUUAUCGAAUCGAAACCAGCAUCGCAGAGCAUCAUGGCCUCGCUUUUUACAAAUUUGACAAGUGAGAGGAUUGUUGCCAGUAGAGGAAGUCAAGGCUGCACGAUCAGCCCCAGGCGGCGGGGUAGAUUGAUAGCCCUCUGAUCUGCCACCUUGGGUCGUCUGAGGAAAACCCCGGCCUCGAGAGUUGAAGUUAUGGCCUCUACCUCGGCCUCUGUGCCGGUUGCUUCCGCGUCCCCGUUGUGACACAAAAGCCAUAGACACAUCAGGAGCUGGGCUUGAGUGUCGCUUGAUUCGUAAUUCAUAGCUUUGGAGUUGGGGAACCACCUCUGUAUAUAGCGGAAUAGGAGGUCGGAACAUAGUCGUCUUGAAUGGCUCAUAGCUUUCAUCGAGCCCUUCUAAUAACCUGAAAACUUUGGUAGAAUCCGAAACAGGUUUGCCAAUAGCAUGCAGUUGAUCACAAAUUGAUUUAAAAUUACGAAGGUAAGUAGGUAAAGGAUUAUUUCCUUUCCUGAUGUGUUGCAGCUGUGCGAGUAGGUCGAAUUCACGGGCGAUCGAGCUCUGCUUGAAGUGGUUGGUUAAUGCUGUCCACACUUCAGCUGCAGUUUGAAGACCGACGGCAUGGCCGAGAACCUCUUCGGAGAGAGUGCCCACGAUCCAUGAUUUCACAAGGCGAUCGGUCCGUACCCAAGAUGUGUAGUCUGGGUUGUUGACGGUGGCUCCACUUUCUGAAGUCGACAUCUUAGGUGGUGCGAUAGUCUCCCCCAUGAGGAAACCAAGUAAGUCCUGACUUUCGAUCAGUGACACUACUUGUGUUUCCCAGAGCAGAUAGUUGUUGUCAUUGAGCUUCAAUGUGACGAAAUUUGCCACAUUAAUGGUGGAGGGAAAGGGAAAUUUCGGGUUAGCUAAGGAUGCCAUUUUUUUUUUUUUUUUAAGAUCUUUGGUGCCUUAGCGUGGCUCUGAUACCAUAAAGAAAUUGGAAGCUUACACACUUCAUUAAUGUCCGAUUGAGAAACUUAUACAAAUAAAGGAGAACUUCUCACACUUAUUGUGGAGGAGGUUACUCCUAUAUUGUGGAGGAGGUUACAACCAUACACUCUCAAGAAUACAAAUUUAUAAAUUCGAAAACUAUCAAGUUGUGAUUGGUGCAGUUGGAUCGUUUGGUGUGGUUCGGUUGUCCUCUUGAUUCCGAAUUGAUUUUGAUUUAGUAAGUUGGUUGAACUGGCUCAAUGUGGUUUGAUUUGAUGCUUCAAUAAUUGGAGCUUAUAAAGGGAUGUAUUUGUAAAGAUAAAAAUAUUAUUUCACUUAUUUGCUGUUAAAAAAUAAAUAGUGCUCUAACGGUAACAAACCAGAGGGACAAAUAUGAAAUCACUGGACUUUUGUACGGAUAAAAAUAAAAAAAUAAACUUUUAGAGAUAUAGUAAUUUACUAUUCGAUAUGUUUACAGAGAACUAUAUGAAAUUACCCCAAGAAUUUAUGUGGAAGUUAGGAUCGCAAUCCAAGGACCGCCCACGAGUCAAACUUUCUGAUUUCGUAGAAAAUAUUUUUUUCUUGAAAAAGUAAACUUGGCUGCAUAUUUCUUAUUUAAAGGCAUAUCAAUCAAAAAAAGAUAGUAUAAAUGAAAUGCAUGUCCUUUUUGAUUCUAUAUGUCACCUUAUUGUGCCAAAAGCCAAAAUUCUCCUUAACAUGGACCAUACAACCAAGGGUGCAAAAAAAAAGUAAAAGGCAUAUUUGGUGACUACUAGCUUGAUAACAUAUAAGCAUUCUAGGAGGUGCUUAUUGCUUCAAUAAGCAUCCCUAAAGGAGAGCAAUUUGGUGGAGAGAGAGAGAGAGAGAUAGAGAGAGAGAGAGAGAGAGACAUAUUCCUAUUGAAUAAAUAAGAUAAAACUUUAGUGGAGAGCUCCACAACGACGUCUCGUUAGAGAGUCCUCGAUCUACUGCCACAUGUUAGUUUUGCCUUCAAUUCAAGAUUUUGUUGCGUGCUUUAUAGUACUCACACUACAAGGUUUGCAAUUGUAAUUGUUACAAAUAAAUAAUUGGUAAAUUAUAGGCCGCUUUGAGGUGGCACCCUCAAUUUUGUUUUGUUACAUGAUAUAUAUAUUUUACUUGCUGAUCAGUUAUUUUAGUCAAUUAAAAUGGAGAAUUUACCCAAAUCAUUAAUUAGCAUUCCGUGGAUCUGAAAGCAUUAAUUAAUCACUUUCUAACGAAUAAAAUUAAUGACUAACUAGCUAAAAAAGCCAUUACUAUAUACUAACUAAAAGUUAGAAUAGCUAAAAAAAAGGUUAAAAGUUAAGGACAUGAGUUGAGGGCUUUUUUCAAAUUAAGUGGCCUAUAGUUGAGAGGAUCUCAUUACAUUUUUAUCCCCCCAAAAAAAAAGAAAAAAAAAAAGGAAAAUGAGUGAAAGAGGUAUCAUAUUCUGUGCAACAUAAACAGCAAUUUGAUACUUGCCAAAUGAGCAAUUAAAGUAAUUAGACAUAUAUACUUUCCAAUCAAAAGUAAAUGUGAGCAAGCUUGUGAUCAACAAAUUCUUGUUAUUCUUUGUAAUUAAAGCAUAUAUAUAGUUCUAAUUAUAUUGCAGUAGCUCCAAUUAAUGCUGAGGGAAUGAUUAGAAAAAUAACUCAUGCUCCUCUUUUAGACCUUUCUUUUACAUUUAUUUACAUUUGUCUAUAUUCUAGUUUUUGAAUACAAAAGCUAUUCCAACAGCAAGGCCAAAUUGACCAAUUUGUAUUUCGUGCGAUAUCACACGUCAUGUAUAUUCUCAAGUUCAACUAACACAAAUAUGAGCUUUUACACAAGCGUGAAAUCUAAACAUAAAAAGAGUACGAGUUCAGAAUCCAUAUAUCAUUGUGACACAUGACAUCUAAAUAGUGCAUAAGUAGAAAAUCAAAUAUAUUGGCUAGGAAUGAAUUUCUCACUCAUCAAUUAAAUAAUAGCUUUAUUGAUAAUUGUAGAUUGUGUUGAUUGGUACUAAUGUAGGAUUNUCCUAUAUUGUGGAGGAGGUUACAACCAUACACUCUCAAGAAUACAAAUUUAUAAAUUCGAAAACUAUCAAGUUGUGAUUGGUGCAGUUGGAUCGUUUGGUGUGGUUCGGUUGUCCUCUUGAUUCCGAAUUGAUUUUGAUUUAGUAAGUUGGUUGAACUGGCUCAAUGUGGUUUGAUUUGAUGCUUCAAUAUUAACCCCUGAGAAAUUCUAGACGCAAAUUUUAACCUAAAUUUGAAUGUGCAGAAAUUUUCUACACACAAAAUGAUUCUAUCACUCAUCGGUGGUAGAAUCGUCUCGAGUGUAGAAAAUCAAAUUGACUACAAGAUUGUAGAAAAAAGUGUAUCCCCUGAGAUCAUGUUUGAGGGCCUGUUUGGUUUACAGAAUUUAAAUUUUUUUUUUGCUGGAAAUUAAUUUCUUGGGACAUCUAGUUUUAUGAUAUAAUUAUUGGAUUAUGAAAACUUUUUUGUUUGGCGCAUACCUUAGAAUAUACAGGAAUAUAUUAUUUCUGCUUUUGGUUCAACAAGAAACUUAUCCAACUAUGUUUAUAAAAUUCAUGCAAUACUCUUUCCUAUAGAGACAAAUUAUAUAUCAUUUUACACUAAAUCACUUAUGUAAAAUCGUAACUAUUUGUGUAUUAAAUACUCCUAAAUUUAAGGGACUCAUAACAUUAUUUACCUUAUAUUACUCGAUUUAAAUUUCGGAAGAGAUAUAAAAUUUGCAAAGAGAUAUAUUAGUCCUUUUAAAUCAAAUUUUUUAUAAAAAAAAAAAUUACAAACACAGGAGGUGGGUUUUUGAAUCCCACGUUUUAAAAAUUAUAAAAUUUUGCAAAAAUUUUUAAUUCCUCCCGCAUCAAGUUUUUUUGACAAAACAAGCCCUUAAUGUUUUUUUUUUUUUUUUUUUUUUUUUUUUUUUUUGUGAGAGAUAGAUAGUACACUACCCGCUUCGUUUAUUUUAUUUAAAAAUAAACUGAACUGGAAAUGUGAAUCAACUAGGAUUCGAACUUGGAACCUCUGAGUACCAACCACCAAGCCCUUAAUGUUGUUAACAUUGAUUUGCUUCAACCAGGUCUACUGUGACACCCGAACUUCCCAGGAGGAGUUUAGCCCUAUUAUAUUUUAUAUAUAGAACUAUCUGGGGUUUCACAAUCUCUCCCCUGUUCUCGUCAGACUCAGAUUCACAAGUAUCAGGCGAUGUGAGACUUGUCUAGCUAGUCUUGUCAUUCCGACCCUAACUCAGCUGAGACUCAUAUCAUAUUUCCGGCUGGUAAUUGGCUCUGAUACUAACUAUGACAUCCCAACUUUUCAGGGGUCAUCUAUUUUACAACUACUCUCGUCCUAACAUACUUAACUUUUUUAAUUUUUUGGGCUUAGUCACCACUCAAAUUGCUUAAGUCGGAUUAAGAGUUUAUUCCUGUUAUAUUUUAUAUAUAGAACUAUCCGGGGUCUCACAUGGUGCAAACUUGCAUGAGCCAUCAUGUAUACAACCAAAUUCCCACCCACUGCCACAAUAAGGAAAAGAAGAAGUCGUACCAAAUACAUUCCCCCUCUGCUAAGAAAAUAAAGCCGAGAGGUGGAAAAUCUCUUUCGUUUUAUCCGUGCUUAUUCGUUAAACAUUUGCUAAAAAUUUUAAUCUGUCAUAUCCAUCGCGAAUGAAGUAAUAAGUAACAGUUAAAAUUCAGAACAAAUAUUAAUCCACCUCGAAAUCGUCCCAAUCAACCGAAAAAAGGGUUGGUAGGUGAAGGUGCACAAGCACAACCAAGUUCGAGCAUCUAUGUUUGGCAUGAUCCACGUGUGUAUUUACCGAAUUUAGGUAUCUUGGUAUUUUGCACUUCUUAAAAGAAUCUUAAUUGAAUCCUACUCAACCCAUUUCUCACAAUUUUCCUUUUAAUUAUUACCCAACUGGGUUUGUUUCAAAAGAUUUUGUAGUGGGAGAAACUACAAUAAUAAAUGGCAUUUCAAGUGGCUUAUAAAUGCUACCAAAACCAUGCUCAUAUAUGCAUUUUCUUUUCUUUUUUUUUUUGUACUCCUACAUGUGUUGUAUUGCAAGUGGCUUGGUCCAUGAUGACUUGGUACGCAAAGACUAGGGAAUUUCUGCGACUUCUAUAUAUAGGUUAGAAAUAGACUUAGCUGAAAAUGUGAAUCAAUUAAGAUUCAAACUUAGGUUUCGGGUACCAACCGUCAAACUUUUUUGCCACUUGCGUUAUGAACGGUCAGUGAUUUGGGAAAAUGCUAGCUCUAAUGCUUGGUCAAUGAGUGGACUUUUCCUUGAUGCAUCCAAAAACCUAACUUAUAUGUUUAAUUAUUCCAAAGUUGUGGACCCUUUUUGAGAAUUAAUUGCAAAAAUGUUAGGCAAAUAUGUAGCCCAAUCAAGGUGAGGCAUUUGUGGAAAUUUAGAUUCUCCAAUUCUUUACUUUACUCUUGUGUGGCGUGGUCACAUCAUCCAAUGGCAAAUAGUACAAAUUCAUGGGUAUUUCAUAAACUUGUAAAAUAUAAUAUCACCAGCAAAGUCAAUUUUGAAUUGUACCUAAGAACAUUUUUAUUUAAUUUAAAAUGUAUGUAUAUAUGAAAGCUUGAUAGUGAGGAGUAAUAAAUUGGCAUUAAUAAGACAGUUUGAGAGGAAUAUUAUAAAAACAAAUUUUCGAAAAGGGUUGAUUUGUAAAAACAAAAAAAAUUAUUUUUCUGCGCAUGUUAAGUAAUUACAAAUGUCUAUUUAGAUAUAACACGGUUAUCUAAUGAUAAUUUUAUAUAAUUUAACAUUUUAAAUAUAAGCUUUUUUUUUUUGAAAGAUAGAUAGCACGCUACCCGCUUCGCUUAUUUUAUUUAAAAAUAAAUAAAUUUAACUGAAAAUAUGAAUCAACUAGAAUUCGAACUUGGAUCUCAGAUACGAACCACAAAAUUUUUUGCCACUUGCUUUAGGGACGGUCGGUCAUAUAUGAGCAAUUUUGUUCUUGUACCGAUUGAUUAAAUAAACAGAUAUAUCAAUAAAACAUAAAUGCAUCCAAAUAAACCUUUUUUCUUUUUUCUUUUUUCUAUUUUUCUAUGAGGCUCUUAUUCUUUGCGUGCUUCAAAAUUGAUCAAAGUAAGUAACCUAAUGGGUAUUUUAAUUAAUUACCAAUUAAAUAUAUUUUACUAAAUAUAUUUUCACACUAGACCAACAACUUAAUUUAUUUCUUUUAUUAUUUUAAAUAAUAGCCAACUAGCUAGGGACGUGUAUAAGUGUACUCCAUCGACCAAGUUAUAUUUUUAUAUAUAUUUCAUUAUUCCUACAACUAAGUUCGUGUAAUUAAUGGAGAAUAUUUAUGGUGAUUGCAAUGACCAAAAAUGAUAAAUUUUAUAAAUAGCUAGAAUAACUAGGCGGGGACUACUAUUUAUGAGUAUAGACCUCCUUAUACUUAUAAAUUUUUAAUCGUUGAUUGAUGAGAUGUGCGGUCAGGAUGAUGAUGGUCCCCACUUAGAAUGAUAAUGGUCCUCUAGGGUUGAGUGGGUAGUUGGUUAAAUAGUACGAUCUAACGAUUAGAAAUGAUUAAUGGAAUAAAUCUAAUGGUCGAAAAUUUAUGAGUAUAAGGAGUUAAUACUUAUAAAAGUAUAGUAGCCGGACUCGAAUAACUAUAUAUAGGGAGCUUGAAUUAAAUAAAUUCGGUGGCUCACAUGGUCUUUAAUUGUUUUUAAAUGCUCCUCAUCGUUACAAUAUUAAAAUUUAUAACUUUAUGUGGGUCUUUACCUACAAAUUAAUUAAUGCUUGAAAAAUUGUGCUUCUUUUAAAUAGAAACCAAGAUAUACUUUUUUUUUAAAUCAGCUAUUUAGUAAAGGGCAAUAAAGGCGUCAUAAACAUUUGGUAAAAGCGUAUGUAGUUUGCUGGAUCGAUUAUUCAAUUUUUCAAAAUUUUAAUUUUAUUUUUAAAAUUUUUUAACACUUGUCGCUUAUCGUUACAGGUUUAAUUAUUAUAAUAAUAAUUUAUACAGUUCUUACAAUUAUAAAUUUAUUUAUAUAAGUAAUUAAUUUAAAAUUUAAAAUCAAAGUGUCAUUAACUGGCUCAAAUCAAAUAAAUUAAACGGUUAGAUAGUAAAAUUAAAAAUUAGAUAGUCGAUUCCCAAUAAUUCAGAGUUAAGAUAAAUUCUACAUAUUUUUACCUCUUACAUAUUUAAUUAAAGAAUUCAAAGAAUUAUGAAAGGAGGUAAACUCUUGAAACCGGUUUAAUAUAAGAAAUUAAUUAAAUUAAUCACACUACAAAUUUACUCUACAUUUAAAUCUCUAUCUGAAUUUACGAACAUCUUAAAAUUAUUAGAACAUUAUAAGAAACUAAAAUUAAACUUCUAACUAAAAUUAAACCGACUCAUUUGAAUUGAUAAGUGUGGUAUUCAAUGUUCUUCGAUUCAUAACACAACACUAUGAAAAAGAAAAAUUCUUUAUAAGCACAAAUUUUUACGGAAUCACUAAUUUGUUUCGAAAACAAAAUACUACCUAACUUUAAUCAUGCUACAGUAUAUAUAUAUAAUUAUAAAUAAAAGUAAAAAAGAGAAAAAAAAAAAAAACUAAUAAGUAAUGAUGGAUAGAGACAUACGCAUAUGAAUUAAUUAAUUGAUGCUUAUUGCGUACUUUGUUGAGCCACAUGCAAAUAGGAGUUACGCUAAUAAAAUUGAACGGAUCCAAAUUAAAUGCAUGUCCAAUUAAUCCCCGUGCAAACGUUGCUUUCACCUCUUCUGAGAAGAGUAAACGAUACUCAAUUUAUUGAAUAAAGGACAAAAAUACAUAAAUAUAACUUGAUUAAUUGUUUCUAAAUAUUGAUUAACCACUACAUUUAACUUUCAUUUAAUUCUAUAAUUUUAAAUUGUUCAUGAUACAUCUCGUUACCACGUUUAGGCCUAAAUUAGUUCGCCAAUAUUGACUUUAGAGAUGAAAAGGAUGUGGAAACUUGCUUUUCAUACUCUUUUUUUUUUUCUUUUUUUUUUUUUUCAGUUACCAAGUUUUUUUCUAGGCUUCUUUUUCUCUCUUGCAUCAAAAGAAAUAAUUCACGAAAAUAUUGAACAAUUGAGACGUAAUAUAAGCAAAAAAUGGAUGAAAAGGAAGCGACGAGACGAAAAAAUUUUAUUUCAAUUUACAAUAAAAAUUAUUUUUUAUCAAAAUAAUUAUUAAUCUAGGGUAGUUCCAAAGUUAAUUAUAAGAGAUAAAAGGAUAGAAAUAUAUAAUAAAAAUUAUGUGCUUUAAAUUUUUUUCACGUACCCUCUUAUUUGAUUGUGUAAUUUUUUAAUAAAAUAAAUAAAAAAGUGGAAUAGUGAGUAGUGACAGUUCAAAAGUCGUCGAGUUUCUGCGUGACAAAUAAUGAUGAAAUUUUUAUUUUUUUUUUGUCUAAACUUCAGGUUAAUUAAAAGUCUUUUUCAAUUUGAAAAUCACUUAUAAGCAACAAAAAUAGGUCAUUAGUCAUAAAUUUAGCACAUUUAGGACUUAGAAACUUGUAUUUAAUUAGGCUAAAAGUUUUAGCUGGAAGCAUAAAUAUCUUGUACGAAUUUAAUUAGGCUAAAAGUUUUAGAAACUUGUAUUUAAUUAGGGCGUGUUUGGUUUACUUCUUUUACACUCUGAAAUCGGAAUCGGAAUGGGUGAAUUCGUUUGUGGGUGUUUGGUACGCGGAAGUCCCAUUCUGAUUGCAAUUCCUGAGUGGAAUGUGAAUACCCCAAUCACCUCUUUUUUCAAUCCGCCUAGCAGGCCGGAUUGGAAGUUGAAUCCAGACGGAAUAGAUAUUUAUUCGGAUUAAAUUUAUUUUUUCAACUUUUUUAAUUAAACUAUGAGUUAAAAUUUAAAAAGUAAAUAUAUAAUUUGAAAUUUUAAUUUGAACUUAAAUUAAAAAUUAAAAUUUAAUCAAGUAUUUCGAAUCUAACUUAUGAAUUUGAAUAUAAAUUAAAUUUUAAUUUAUAUAAAGUUUUAUUCAAAUUUUAUUUCAAACUUAAAUUAAAUUUAUGGAUUCAAAUUAAAAUUUAAAUUGUAAUUUUAAGUUUGAAUUUGAAUAAAUUAAAUUUUAAUUUCAUAUUUUGAAUUAUCCACUCAACUUCAAAGUCUAUUUUUUUUUAAAAAAAAAUGGAUUUAAAAUUUUGAUAUUAUUUCAAAAUUUUGAUAUAAAUUUUUAAUAUUUAAUAUUUUAUUUGAAUUUAAAUUAAUAUAUUAAAAAGAUAAUGUUAGUAUAUUAAUUUGAUUACGUUUUUUAUAUCCACCUAAACCAAACACCGACAAUGGGAAUAAUUUAUUCCGAUUCCGACUCAGGUGAUGAACCAAAUAGAAUUAGGUAAUAUGUCGUGCUGAUUCCGAUUCCAGCUUAUUUUAAUUCUGAUUCCUAUUCCGACUUUAACUUCAAACCAAACAGGACCUAAAAUACAUAUGUAUAAGAUUCUUGCAAUAUAUAUAUAUAUAUAUAUAUAUAUAUAUAUAUAUAUAUUAUUGUGCUUUUCUUCUUAACAAUAUGCAUUUAUUUUCCUUGUUUUACUCUCAUAUUUUUUUAACUUCUACUUAGGUAACUAGAAUUUAUGGAGCAAUUAAUAAUUUUAUGUUAAAUACCAGUGACAUAAGAAAAUAGAAAAAAAAAAAAAUUGUAACUACCGAUGGGACGAAAUUUAAAGCAAUAUAAUAAUAUGCCGUGGCAUUGAAGGACACAAAGGUGUGCAUAAUUUCAUGCAACCCCUUAUAAAUUCCGAGAUAUACAACAAAAAGUAUUCUUUCAUGUAUUUGGCAUGAUAUCAUUGGUCCACCAAUCUCUGUAUCCAUUUGCCCAAAAUAAUACGUAAGCUAAUUAAAAAAAAAAAAGUUCUAUGGUUUCUAAUUCCCACGCAAAAAUUAAAUAAUAAUAAUAAUGUAAAUAUAUGUACUAAAAUCCGGAAAUGGACACCCCAAUUAACUUUUUAAUUUUUUAUUAGCAUUAUUCUAGUUAGUUAGUUUAGAAGUUUUGGUAUAUUUAAUAUCUCUAUUAAUUAUUUUAAUUUUAUUCACUAAAAAGUGAAUAAAAAUAUUAUCUAAAUUACUAAUAAAUUGGAGCUAAAUUAACGAGUAAUAAUUAAAAAGUAAAGUUGAGGAGGUUGUUUCGAAAAAUGCUAUAGUUGAGGGGGUCGGCGCACAUUUUGAAUUUUAUGACAUAAAUAAUAAAAAAACCAAAUUUAUAUUUUUUUUUGCAAAAUAAUAAUAAAAAAAUUUAAAGGGGAGUUGCUGAUUCUAAGGGGGAACUCUCUCUCAUACAAAGAAGAUGCGAAGAGGGGGAGAGAGAGAGAGGAGUCAGAUCUUGGAAAUUUCUCUACUCCUCUCGUCCUCUCCUCUCUCCAAAAGCCCACGACUUGGUCUAAAGCAACGCCCUUUUAUCUCUCUCUCUCUGUAUCAAUCCUCUUCUCUCGCUCUCUCUCUCUCUCUCUCUCUCUCUCUUCUGUUUCCAGGUACGGGGCUCUACUUUUUCAUAUGACUCCGAUUCAAAAAAGCUCGUUUUUUGGCUCUUUGAUCCGUUUUGUGAUGUGGGUUCUCUCUAUUUCGCGCUUUUUCGAUCUCGGUUCGUCUCGAUCACGCGUCUUUUGGGCUCUGUUUGGGCGUUUCCUUUUCGUUUUUGCUUGUUAAUCGCGUUCCUUGUGUUGAGUGCGUGAAUUGGGAGCUGUUUUAUAUAUUGGGGUGUGAUUGGGCUCGAAAGGUCGAAUUUUUAUUGGGGCUUUUGGGGAUUAUAAUUCUAUAUCACUUUGAGCUGUUUGAUUAUUUGGUGACGUGUAUACACUUUUGUUCUUCGAAUUUGGCCAUGUUUAAUUUUUCGCUUUCUUUUAAUAUGUGAGAUUCGGAUUACUCGUGUUCAAUGAGUUGUUCUCCUACUAUUGUUCCCUUAUAUCGUUGACUUUGUCGUUUUCGUUCAGUUCCAAGCUAUAAAGUUGGAAUUUUUCCUGCAAAACAAAGCUCAAAAGUUGGAAUUUUACGCCCUUUUUCGUUCAUCAAAUGUUCGCUUCCUCUCCUUUUCUUUGUGUCCUCAAUCAAUCAACUUUAAAACUUUUUCUGCUUUAGUUUUCAAUGGUUUUGACUAGGAGCCAUUACAAUUUUGUAAUUUUCCUUCUAUUUCAAAAAUUUUAGGGCUUAUUUCCUCUUUUUUGCUCCUGUGUGGGAAGUAUAUGCUGUUCUUUGUAUCUUCGUAUAUGCGACAAUUAAACGCACUUUAUACCAAUGCUGUUAUGCUUAUAUCAUUGGUUUUUAGGGGGGUGUUUCAUCUCAUUUCCUUAAGUUGAAAUUUCGAUCCUUGGUUCUAACAAUUCAUAAGUUGUUCUAAUAAUGGCUUAUUUUGCUAUAUCUAUCUAUUACUAUUAUGAAAUCAAAACUUCUUUUGUGAUUUUUACCCUUAAUAGUAACUCAAUUUUGUUUUUAUUUGCGUAGAUAUCUUGUUCCGGUCGGCUCGACGAGUUUAUUUCACCGGAGAGGGCUAUAUUUUCACCCAUAAGUUGCGUGGCCAAGGAGAAUAGUUCUGCUGUUAUCGAUUCAUUGAUAAGAUAAUUUUUCACAUGCUACCAGUCAAUAGGAGCAGAAGUCAGCCGAGGGCCGGUAGAUCUUGGCCCUUCUCAGGUUUUUUUAAUUUUUUUCUUUCAAUAGUUUUUGAGCUUGAUAGCACGCUACCCGCUUCACUUAUUUCAUUUGUCGUGUAUUUAGGUACUAAGAUUUCCAUUGCGUGCAAUAAUAAGAAUUAGAGCGAAAUGAAACGAAGCGUAUGAAUAUGAAUUUUUUAAAAUAAGUGUGAAAUCCAUGCUGCUGAUCGAAUCGAGUUUUGAAUUGUUGGUUUCAGAUUCGCUAGUGGUCCAGGUUACUGAAGAUUCAGUUCUCGUGAUUUCGACAGUUUCAGCUGUUUGUGUCUUUUGAUUUUAGAUAUUGCUUGAGAAGUGUCCGAUUUCUUUCAGGAGAAGCAAACUAGUACCAAAAUUGGGGAAUCAAAACAUAGUGAUGUAUUAAAGUUAUAGCUCAUGCUGCUUAACCAAGAAUAUAACUGAAAGUGUCUUUUUGUCUAUAAAAGAGAUCAAAGUAUAAAAAAAGAGAGAAAAAAUGUCAUAAAUGAUUUGUGGACAAAUCAUAGCUGACCCUCUAUGUUUGUAUCGCGUAACGCCGAUUAAUUUUCAAAAUCUAAGGCUUUUUAUAGAUGUUCUAAUCCAAGCUGAUGUAUGUUAGGUGAGGAUUGUUUUUGGAGACUAGUUUUAGAUUGGUAUCCACUGAAACCAAAAUGACUUGGUUUCAGUUUUAGAUUUUUGUCCCCCCUCUGAAAAUUUAAGCCGUGGAAUGAAAAUUUGUUCCAUGAAGCUACCCCGCUUUCAACUUUUUGAUCGAUACUUGAUUUCUGAGAAUUCUAUGGUUGAAUUUUACUUAGUUCUUUUUCCCUCCAUUACUUUUAUUCCUAGUUGCUUCUUUUCUUGUGCUCUCGAUAUUAAUCACAUCUUCCAUACUAUAAGACCAUUACAAAAAUUUAUAUGAUUUUGCAUUAGUCAGAAUUUUGAUUUUAAAAUCACUGUUUUAUCACAGGAAUGGAGUUCUCAGAUUCAAGACGCAAGCCUCAUUUUCUUGGGAAAGUAAUCACCGCCGUUGUUCUUACGGCCUUGUGCAUAUAUAUUCUGAAGCAAUCCCCUGGUUUUGGUGGCACUAGUGUGGUGAGUUUUAAAUUUUUUCUCAUCCUUGUCUUCUUUUUCUUCAUCAUUUUUCUACUCUUGUUAGCUCUUCUUCUUCUUCUUCUUCUUCUUUUUCCUUCUCUUCCUGUUAUUAUGUGAUCAAAUUUGCAUAUAACCUGUUAAUAUAACCUCACUUAACUUGUCAUGGAUUUUGUGUUUUAUUUAGUUUUGCCUGUGAUUUGGCUUAAACUAGUAUAUAUCCAUGUUCAUUUGUCUAAGAGAUUGUACAGCGUCAUAGGUUUGCUAUUUUUUCACUAUUGGGUAUAAUUCUCUCGAGGGAUGUCAAAGCAAUUAUUUGAUUGCCUAACACGAAUUUUUGUGCUUGUUUAAUGAAUGAAUUCUUGUAUCUAACAAUGAAUGAAAUAAUGGGUAAAAAACUCCGCCGAAACUCUUCCCACAUGUUUUCUUGCUCUGCUCCAUGAUCAUAAUUUAGUUCUGUAAUUGUAGGCAUCUCGUGUGACUCUUAGGAUGGUUCGCUUUUCCUCUUUGAUGUCGCAGAGCUGAAUUGCUCUUAAUGUUUUUUUUAGUCACGGAUUUGUUUUCUUGUUUUCUAAUUAAUUUGGUAUCUUACAGUUUUCACGUCAUGACCCCGGAGUAACCCAUGUCUUAGUAACUGGAGGUGCUGGCUAUAUUGGUUCGCACGCUGCGCUUCGGCUCUUAAAGGACUCCUAUCGAGUUACUAUCGUGGUAAUUCUCGCUUCUUGUUGUAUAUAUACAUACACAUUAUACUACUCAAACAUAAUAUGUAGUUCCGAAGGGAGAGUUUUAGAAUACUUUGGGAUGCACUGGCCAUUUGCUCACAUUGGAUCGGCUUUGAGAUCCGCGCCUGCCUCUCUCGGAUGCGUGCCCUGCAGUGCAUCUGAAGAUUCCCUGGAUCUUGAAGCCGAUCCCUUGCACAGCAAAGUGAAGAACUGGGAUCUCAGUGCUUCGGUGCUUCCGAAAAUAUUUAACAUCUAUUCUUAAUAUGAAAUUUUCUUUCAAAGUUCCUUUUCGCGCGCUGCUGAUAUUUGCAGUACUAGUCAACUCGCGUGCUGUUUGUUUUCGCAGGAUAACCUCUCUAGAGGAAAUAUGGGUGCCGUGAAAGUCCUCCAGGAGCUAUUCCCGGAGCCUGGGAGACUUCAAUUUAUCUAUGCUGAUUUGGGCGAUGCGAAAGCUGUAUCCUGAUCAUUCGGCCUUCACACUUGCUAGAUUUAUUUUUUCUUUUCUUUUUUUUUUUUAAUUAAAGCAUUCAGUUAUUUCUUAACAACUAUUCAGGUGAACAAAAUAUUCGCAGAGAAUGCAUUCGAUGCUGUAAUGCACUUUGCCGCAGUCGCAUAUGUUGGCGAGAGUACAAUGGAACCUCUUCGGUAUGCCAUUUAUACUAUAUAAACUCUUCGGUUAAAAUUUUAUUAUAUAUUUUAAACACGUUUAUCCCUUUGAUAAUCCGUGAUGUGCUAUUAAAACUGUAUAUAGUGAGGUAUUGACACACUAAUAACUAUGAUUGCUUUGGAAAAUUCAAAGCGCUUUUUUGAAAUUUCUUGUUAUAACAUUUUUUUAAAAAAAAAAAAUGUGUAACAGGUACUAUCACAAUAUCACGGCUAAUACUUUGACUGUUCUGGAGGCCAUGGCAGCUCAUGGUGUGAAAACUCUGAUUUAUUCAAGUACAUGUGCGACUUACGGAGAACCUAAGAAGAUGCCGAUUACGGAAGUUACUCCUCAGGUAAAGUCUCAUUAAUAAGAGUCCCUAUUUUAUUUCAUUUUGCUUGCCUUGUUACAUCUCUGUUAUUAUAUUAGCUGUCCUUGGAAAUUUUGGAGUGACAAAAUUUCUGAAGAAAUUUUAUUAUUGACCAAUGUUUCUGUGCGAUUUCAGUCUCCUAUCAACCCGUAUGGGAAAGCCAAGAAAAUGGCGGAGGACAUUAUAUUAGAUUUCUCAAAGAGAUCAGACAUGGCUGUUAUGAUACUAAGGUUUGUUUCUUCUAGUAUCACAUACUUGGGGCGGAGAUGAGCGGAUUCUGAUUUAAAACAUCUAUUUCAGGUACUUUAAUGUCAUUGGAUCGGACCCAGAAGGUAGAUUAGGGGAAGCUCCUAGACCGGAAUUGCGAGAGCAUGGCAGGAUAUCUGGGGCGUGCUUCGAUGCGGCUUUAGGAGUUAUUCCGGGACUUAAGGUAUAACUUCCUUUUAUCCUAUAAUCGACUUUAACAGUGAAAAUCGUUUAUGUUUGAAGUGGUUAAAGUUUUGUUGGGCCCCCCUGUAGGUUAAAGGAACGGACUAUCCGACAGCUGACGGAACCUGUAUCAGAGACUAUAUCGAUGUCACAGAUCUAGUCGAUGCGCAUGUCAAGGCACUUGACAAGGCGGAGCCUAAGAAAGUUGGCAUUUACAAUGUUGGCACCGGACAAGGUUUUCCUUUAUGUGAUCAUAACCAUCAUAUUAUUCCAAUCUACCCCUCUUUGUACUUGUGAAAGUUAACGUAAAUUUGCGUUGGAUGUAUAUUUUGUUUUUCAGGUAGAUCAGUAAAGCAGUUUGUGGAAGCAUGCAAGCAAGCAACCGGAGCAAAGAUAAAAGUCGAGUAUCUCAGCCGCAGGCCGGGAGACUAUGCCGAAGUCUACAGCGACCCCGCGAAGAUCAACCACGAGCUCAACUGGACGGCCCGCUACACCGACCUGCAGGAGAGCCUCUCGAUCGCGUGGCGAUGGCAGAGAUCGCAUCCCAACGGCUACGGGAGAUCCUAAAAACACAUAGCUUGUCGAUUCAACUCCUCUGAAUAUGAGAGAUAGAAUUUGGGCACGAGUUUGUUUUCUACCAUGUAUUGUAUUGCGUAAAUUUUAUCAUAAGAGGGUGAUAUUUUUUUGGCAAAAUUUGGUAGGGGUCAGGAUAGGAGCAUAUAUUUCAUUUAUUAUUAUUUUUUUCCUUACAUGUCAGCAAAACAGAAUCUAAUAACCAGUUCAGUUGAUUGCUAUACACCCCUCUCCCCCACCUUGAUUAAUCUCAUGUGUAUUAUGCUUUUGUUAUAAAUUAUGGUGAAUCUAAAGGCCUCUCUUUGUAAUUUUUCCUCUGAUUUUGUGUUUUUUUUUUUUGGUUCACAUCAUCUAGCAUCAGUUAUCAAUUUGCUAUAAUGCUAUAAAUCUUCAAUUGUAUGUGAGAAAAUUUUAAAUUGAGUAUACUUUCGCGACCUCGUCUGCCAAUUAUAAGCUUAGAGGCUUUGUUCACAGCAAGAUGUUGAAAUGAGUUUUUGAGGAAAUUCUGCUUCUGGCUUUCUUCAGCUUCUGUUUAGAGGAUCUUAACAAAAUGAACUUAAGACUUGUUCAACAUCACUACUCAAACAGCACCUUAAGUACAUGAUAUUAUAUGGGUUUUGCAUGCCACAUCAUCCAUUGAGAUGUUAGGUUAAAGGAAGUUCUUUGACUUCUCUCUUUGUUUUUUUUUUUUUUUUUUUUUUUUUUUUUUGCAGCUGAGUGAUUGAUCUUUUUAAUUAUUAGCCAACAACUAAGCCUGGCAAUUAAAUAGUAAUGUAAAAUCUACACUUCCCAACUAAUACCAUGAAAAAAAAGGGGUUAAAAACAAGCUGAAAAUACCACAGAAAAGACCAAAUUAACCCUUUAAACUUAGCAUGAAACAGAUCUGACUAGAGAAAUUUAUAUCUAUUCCCUGAUCUUCAACCUCAAGCGCUAUAUUUUUCGUACGAGCUUCUUUCAGUAUAGUUUCUGUUGAGCUUUUUUCAGUUAAAUAUAAGAAAAUUUUUUAAGAGCUAAGUCUAUCUUUUAGUACAAAUUUACCUUUCAAUUACAACAUGUAAUUGAAAUUUAAAUAGGUGAACUAUUAGCCGCGGAGGGGUAAAAUUAAUUGCAGCAAACAGAAUAUUUGCAAAUCAGAAAAAUGUUAUGUAUAUAUUUCAAUUAUGAGUUAACUGACAACAAAGUGCAGAGAAGAACAAGCUCAUACUCGUUACAACUCCGGAAGCAGAGUUGAUAAUAAAAGAACUUGUGAAUCUCCAAUUAUUUGCUUGCUUCAGCAGCAAAAAUUCGAUAUAAUUGGAAGAUUUCAUUAGAUUAAUUGAUUUCCAGUUGGUAUUUAGAUGCUGGGUUGUAGUUUUUAUCCUGUAAUUUCAGAAAGAGAAAUUGUGUUGUAACAGUGUCUCUUUUCACCAUACUACAUUCAUCAUUUCAUCUUGUGGAGUUCACAUUGGUUUUACUCUAGAUUACAUCAGAUUUUAGAAAGAAGUUAUUUCCAUUGCACUCGUCGUUUUCUUCGCAGGGGAAUGUACUAUAUUGCUUUUUGUGCGAAAAUAAUCAAACAGAUUAGUUUACUCUUAUUAAAGUACAAUUCCUCGCACGUUUAAUCAGGAAGUAUAAAACCGACAACCUCUUUUCUUUAUUCAAUGUAAGUACAUUCGAUCGUUCGACAGUUCGAAUUAUUUAUAUCAUCGACGUAUUAUCACAUGCCUAUUGUUAACCUCUAUAGCAAUUGCUGGAAUUAUGAUUUUGUUUAGGGAGAAAUGAUAAAAUAUAACAAGAAUCAAAAUAGAAAAACAUGAUCACCUAAUUCCUAUGAAGGUCAAUAAGCAGGUUCCAGUAACCGCCGAACCAUUUCGUCAACUCUUACAUCUAGCAUUAUAUAUUAAGCAAACAUCUAACACACCAAACAAACAUUUUUCCUUCUUUGAUGUUCAAAUAAUAACAUUUCGUAGAGAUAAAAUCGAAGCGGGUUUUCUCUCAGUUUCUUUCGAAGAAGAGAAGAACAAAAGGAUGUUUUUAUUUAUUUAUUUCCAUUACCUGCAUUUUCUGAUUUGAGGGGUCUUCGUAAAUUAGAGAUUGAUAUAUUCUUGGUGAGGAUACGAACGCCAAUUACAACAAGUCAAAGUGGAGAAACUCUGCAAAAACAUGGUAAACACCAAGCUUUGCUUUUGAUCACAACCAUUUGAAUUUAAUUUUUCGUAUAGGCCAUCAUAUACUCUGAGUUCCUUUCUCAUUACUGUAGUAACUUUUUCAGUUAGCUAGAUGAUUUUUUAUCCAUUUAUUUUCUGCAAAAGAAAGCAAGGUGAAAUAUUUCAGAUCCUACCAUCCCCCCCCCCGGAAAGGUAAGGGGAAAAUGGAACUUAUUUAAAUACUUCUCGUAUUUUGAAGCUAAUUAGGUAAAUUUUUGUCCGAUAUAUUCCAGAAAACAGUUGAUAUUAGUUCAAGAACUUUGCAGGAACUUUAACAUGACCGGUGAGUACUAGUUUACAAAUUCGUUUGGAUAUACUCAAAAUUCGGUUAAGCUGCAUUGCAACUGUUCUUAUUUGAUAAUUGGAUUUUUUUUUUUUUUUCUUUACUCAAUGAUCUAAGAAUUGAAUAUAUAAAUUCUUUUGCUCAACUCAUGUUCAAUUUUCUAUUUUUUUGUUGUGAACCUUUGGCUAUUUUUGUUCAAGUUAGUUAGAUUGUUGCAGUUCUUAUGGUAAUUCCCUCUCUCUUUCUACGAUUACACUGGCAUAUUUGCAUACAUGUUCAGGACAUGAUUUGCUACUCAUUUUGAUAUUUUUCACCGAGACUACCGACUUGCAUCAGGAUACAUGACUGUACAAGUGCCAAAGUUGCAAUCCCAGAUUCGGGCCAGAGUUUCUGCAAAAAUGUAAUCGUUAAUCUUUCCAACAGCUUUCCACUUUUGGCAAAAACAAAAAUUUCAAAUCAAACAUAUACAUAUACGAGUUUUGCAGCAGCACUGACUGAAACUCAUUUUCAGAGCAGGGAAGUAGUUCAGAAGCUCGGUCGAAUAUGCUUUAGUGCUUGUUUCAUGUACCAAAUCGAGUCGCUGUGUCGAUUUCUUAAUCUUUUUAAACUAUUAUUAUGGUUUCCGAUUGUUCUUUUUUUUUUUUCUGUUCGAUUUACGUGGAAAGAACGAAGGAGGAAAUCACGGAGCUGCAGGCACAGAUGUUGAAGUAGUCGCCAGACAAAAUGAAGGAACAAAUCCGAGCCAAGAAGGUGUUGCAGCCCUCAGGAACCGGAUCAAAUCCUCCUCCCAGUGCGUCGUGGUCAUCGCCGCGCUUGUACUGACCGGCAUCUUCGUCCAGAUUGACAGCAUGAAACAAGCCAACAGCACGCUCCUGCUGAUCUGCACCCUGUCGGCCGCGACCGCCGGUGCCGACGGCCUCCUCCUGCGCUUCUUCAUCGCCGAGUUCUUGCCCGAAAAUCCUGGGGGGUGCCAGUACAAAUGCAUCAAGCUGCUGGCGCACAACUGCAGCGUUCUUCUCAUGAUAACGUCUUACUUGCUCCUGCUCUUGGCUGACACGAGCCACGCCGUGAUGGUCGUGAUGCUGCUCGUGAUGUGCGCGCUCGUCCUAGUCUUGCUGUGCAAAGGCGUGCGCGUUGAUCACGGCACCGACGCCGCAGCGUUCGCGCGCCGCAAGGCCGACCUCGAGCGCCUGCUGGACUUCGCCGUCGACGUCGCGUACAUCCUAUACGGGGGACUGAUCGGUAGAGUUUUCGGCUACUUCAAGAGCUCUACAGAGCAACCAACACUGCAUAACAAUAACAACAAAAGCAGCAGCAGCAGCAGCAGCAGCAGCAAUAAUUUGAAGGAGGUCCCCGAGCUGCUCAUCUUCUUCGGCUCGCUGGGCUUGGUUCUGAGCUCGACACCGCCAGUGCUCUCUACGGACCGCCGGAACGCGAACCAUCACGAGGACUGCGUGGUGAGAGGGCUGGAAUAUUACAACAACGCCUGCGCGGCGGUGGCGAUGGUAACAACGCUGGCACUGGCGUACGUGUUGGUGGGAGAGUUCAUGAUACUGGCUCUGGUGCCGGAGAUGGCGGCGGCGGUGGCGUGGGUGGUUGUGGACCUCGACCGCCGUUGUUUCGGGGCUCGGAUGGAGAAUGCUGGUGCAUCGGCCGCCGAUCGCAGCCGCCGCCGUGUACGUGCUCGAGUUCUCACACUUGAUGUCGCUUGUGUCGGCCGUGCCACUGCUUGCAGGCUUGGUCGUGGCUGAACUUCUAUGACCAGGUCUCAAUUAAACAAAAAUUUUAUGGAACCGUCCCUCCUGUAACGUACGUUGUUACAUUUAUCAUCUAUUACUACUUUGAGAUUCGAGCAUUAUUGCACAUGAUAAAUUGAACAAUUCAACUAUAAGAAUGGUUUCUAUAAAAUUUUUGUUUGGUCGUCUCAUAUAAUUAAGAUCGCUCUGAGUAAUAAAACUGAUAGCUUGCACACGAUGCAGUUCGGUGGUUAGUUCAAUAAUGAGCCUUUUAAAAUGAUUCAGUGCCUAUUCCGUAGUGCCGUCGCUUUUAAUAAAUUUUAUUUUUAUAAUAAAAACUCUAAAUUAAAUUCUAGUUUUUUUUUAAUACUGGUACUGAUACUUUCUGUUUUGUUAAUUGAGGUGCCUUCCUUUGUAAUUAGGCUUGUAUUAUAUUUUUUUGGUGCAAACUACAUAUAGAAUUUGGACUGACAGCUUAUAUGUCGAUGGCGGUCACGAUAUUAAAAGCAUAUAUAUAUAUAUAUAUAUAUAUAUAAUAUUUAUAUAUAUAUAUAUAUAUAUAUUAUAUAUAUAUAUAUAUAUAUAUUAUAUAUAUAGUCCGGCUAUGGUGCUUGUAAAAGCAUCAAGCACUUGUGCUUAUAAAUUUUUACCGUUAGAUCUAUGUCUUUAAUCACUUUCACUGUUAGAUUAUACUAUUCAACCAACCACCGACUCAACCCCAGGAGCCUACAUCAUUCUAACAUGCACAUUCCUUAAUCCAAGGGCUGAAAAGUUACAAGUACCAAUAACUUGGUACUUUUAAAAAUAUAGGAGCUUAAUUCUAUAUAUAUAUAUAUAUAUAAGUAUAAUAGUAUAUAGUAUAUAUAGUAGAGCUACUAUGCUAUCGGAAGCAUAGAGAAUCUAGUGUUUCCGAUUUUUUGGCUGUUAGAUCAGUCCCUUUAAUCACUUUUAACCUUUGGAUUAAUACUAUUACCCUAUGGGGACCACUUAACCCUAGAGAUACUACUCAACCCUGAGGGGACCACAAUCAUUCCAACCAUAUAAUUCUUAAUCCAAGGGUCAAAAUAUCGAAAGCAUCAAAUACUUUAUGCUUCCGAUAGUAUAGUAGCUCUACACUAUAGGGCACGUUUGAUUCGAAGUCAGAGUCGGAAUCGGAAUCGGAAUUAAAAUAAGCUGGAAUCGGAAUCGAAAUGACUCAUUAUCUAAUUUUGUUUGGUUCAUCACCUAAAUCGAAAUUGAAAUAAAUCAUUUCCAUUGUCGGUGUUUGGUUCAUGUGGAUAUAAAAAACGUAAUCAAAUUAAUAUACUAACAUUAUCUUUAUAAUAUAUUAAUUUAAAUUCAAAUUAAAAAUUAAAUAUUAAAAAUUUAUAUUAAAAUUUUGAAAUAAUGUCAAAUUUUAAAAUCUAUUUUUUUUAAAAAAAAUUAAACUUUGAAGUUAAUAAUUCAAAAUAUGAAACUAAAUUUUGAUAUAUUCAAAUUCAAACUUAAAAUUACAAAUAGUAAACUGAAUCCAUCCCCAGCCCUCCUAUUAAUAGCUAAGCGGUAUGGAUCUGGGAAGCCCGUUAGAUUGUCAACUUUCAAUAAGGCUAUAAUGCACCGGCCCAGAAAUGUUAAAGGGCAUUUAUCCUAUCUGGGCCGCCGAGUGCUGAUCAAAUUGUACCUAAUUACAUCACAACCUUUGGAUUUUGAACCAAUGCCAUGAUCAAAUUCCUUUUUUGUUCUUUUUUGUUUUUUUAUUCCAUUACUGCUUGAGAAAGUAGAUAAUAGCAACUAAGACCUCAUUUGGGCAAAAAAACAUCUUAUUCUGUAUAUCUCUUUAAUUUAAUCAAAAAAGUAUAUAUUUUUUUGAGACAAAGGUAGCACGCUACUUGCUUCAUUCAUUGGAGAGAUGAACUAGGCUACAGGAGUGAGACAACAGAGGCCUCGACUAAGGCGAAAAAAAAAAAAAAAAACUAUCGAUUGUAGAAAGGCCAAUUAGCUGUUAGAGACUGCUCCCAGAGAUUCGUUAACUGUUUGAUCUUGUAAAUCGCUAAGAUAGGGUCUAACAUGGUCUUUCGAAAGAUUACCUCAUUCCUACCAUCCCACGUGACCAACCAACAUGCUACUAUUUUGGUUAUCCAAUUAUUCAUGGCUAGUGUUCCAUACCUAGCCAGCUUGUCCCAGACCAAAUUCACAUUGUCCCCCAAAUCUCUAGUCUGUACACUCUCCAAGAUCAUUACUAAUAGGAAUCUAGAAAAAACGUAUUGUGUGAAUAAGUGAUCGACGGUUUUCUCUUCAGUUCCACACAACACACAAGCUGUGUUGUCAGUCCAACCUCUUUUAGUAAGGUUAUAUGCUGUAAGGAGCCUCUUCUUGAAAACUAACCAGCAAAAAACUUUCACUUUUAAGGGAAUAUGGAGUUGCCAAAUCUUGCAAGCUCGGUCAUCCCUCAUUCCCACGUCACUCAAUGCUGAGUAUAAAGAUUUUACCGUGAAUCGUCCGUCAGGGCUGCAUCGCCAAUGCACACUAUCAGGACCCUGCACAAUUUUGAAGUCGGCUAUCCGUUCCCUAAUUGCAGAGUAGCUAUAACUCAAAUUGUACUCAUUAAUGAUUAUGUUAUUUAUUACCUUACUCCAAUUCCAACCGUCGCUCGUCAGACAGUCACUGAUAUAUAGAUUUUUGCCAAUCAGUACAUAGUACACCUCGGGGAAUGACAAUUGCAAAGUGGUUUCCCCACACCAGCGAUCCGACCAAAAGUCGAUCGAUCUCUCGUUUCCUAGCUUAUGACACACUCCCUAUUUGAAGAUUGUACUCUAACUAAGAACUCCCUUCCACCAAUAUGAGGUAGGUUUGAAGGACCUACCCUCUUUCAGGGGUUUUCUUCGACAAUAGUAUAAAGCAUGAAUAAUCUUGUUCUAUUGUAGCUGAGGCUCAGUAUGGAAUUUCCACCACCAUUUGGUUAGUAGAACGCGAUUCAUUGUGUCUAAGUCCAGGAUUCCGAGUCCUCCCUCUUUCUUGCUUCUACAGACGUUCUUCCAAGCAAUCAAGCAUCCCCUACCAGAUGCGCUGUUUCCUCAAUUUCAAAAGAAGUCUCUGAGUAGGGAUUCAAUACGCUUGGUCACUCAUUUAGACGCCUUGAACACCGAUAGAUAGUAUCAAAAAAGUAUAAUUAUUUGAUAGAUGAGAAGUGCAAUCGAAUGUCUAGAAUGAAUAUUAGAUUCAGCUUCAAUUUAAUAUUUUCAAAAAAAUACAAAUCACCUUAUAAUUAAAAUAUAUUAUCCUACCAAAUCAUAAAUAUUAGGAUCUUUCGAAAAUAAAAAAUAAUUUUUUAACUUACAAUUCUAAUAAUUUUUUUCAGUUAUUUUGAAUAUUUUCUUUUAUCAUCCAAGCAUGAAAGUCUAUAGUAAAACAUUAUCAGCACCUGAAAACACCAAAAUUUCCCAAUUAACUAACAGGACUGUGUUCGUUCUGUUCUUAAUGUGGCUCUGUUCUCAAGGGCUCUGAUCUUCAUCAUCUCUGUUGCACUUCCUUCAUCAUUUUCCAUCUAGAUUCUAGAGAAAUCUGCUUCUCCAUUUGCGUGUAAUCCGAAAAAAAAAAAGAAGAACUAAAUCUGGUUGAAAAUAGUCUAAAACUAGCUAUAACAUUUCUGCUUACUUACAUGGUGGAGAUUGAACGAACCCAGUAAAAAUCAAUAUUAUAGGGAACUAUCUAGAGUUCUCACUUACAUGCACAGUAGAGAUCAAAUAAGCCUAUGCAUGCACCGACUGAAAAGAUAAUAACAAGUAUAACAGAGGAACAGAAGAAACUUAUGCCAAUUCAUGGCACGUGAUAAUUUAACUAACGGUUCUUCGAUGAAAGGAAACUUAGUACUAGUUCAGUACCAUUUAACUCAAAAGAUAGACCCCAGCGGGAGAGAAAGAAAGAGAGAGAGAGGAUGAGCAACUCCGCAGAUAGCAUAGCAACGCGCAUACAAAGCUCUGUUCUCUGCAUUCUACUACUCUUCUUAUUCUCCUCUGUUUCGGUUGGGUUGCUGGACAAACAAAGCUUCCCCUUUUUUCUCUCAUCUUCUUCAUACACAUGCACUAAUUUCUCCAGCCAGUGAAUUUAUAGGAAAAUCCACUAAAUUUGUUCGAAAAACAACCAAAAGCAGUGCAAUAUCAAGCGCGAACAGGGGAGGGGAAAAUUCAACUGCACAGACAACGAAAACAGGGCAUCAUGUAUAAUAUUUACAGCGCAGUAGCACCUCAGAUACAAACAAUUAUUACAAACGAGCCACGCCUUGCAAACGAACGCUGAACACUACAACACAGCUUUAAAAUGUCCACACUCCAUCGAAUCACACACUCGGAUAAAACUUCAGUAGGGAGCUCUCCAACGACCGCCACGUAUUAGUCUUAUCUCAAUCCAACAGUUUGGAAGGUGCUUUUAAUACUAAGCGGAGGAUUAUAAGUCUUGAAUAGAGAUAAAAGUAAUACGUGAAUGAUUGAUUAGGACUCCUUAACGAGGCGUCGUUGGAGAGAGUUUUCCAAAGUUUUUUCCCACACACUUGCAGAAGAAAGAAAAGCUCACAAAUACGAACAUUAUAGAGAAAGAUUAUACGGCAUAUAUGUAUAGUGUGUAAAAUGCAGCGAAAUAAUUAACACGACGUGCAGGAGCAUAUCGGAACUAGAAGAGGAGCAGGUUGCCGUCGGCGAGCAGAAAGCGCGAUAAGGCAUCUGCUACGCGGGCCGCAAGCCUUUCUGCUUCUGGAAGUGAGCGGAGAACAAAGGAUGCAAAAAAGAUGACCAGACACAGAGUCCAGAAGAGGAACAGGGUGAGGACGUCCUCGACGGCGAUGGAGGAGGAGGAGGAGGAGGAGGAGGAGUUCACGGUGAUGUGGACGAAGCUGGAGACGAUGAGGAACAUGAAGAAGAAGGCGCCACAGCGAAGGGCGCGCGGGAGGCGGUCGUGAUCGCCGUCGGGCUCCUGGAGAACGGCGGCCAUGUUUGGAACCUCUUGCUCCGGCAUUGUUUUCCCUGUAGAGAGAGAGAGAGAGAGAGAGGGAGAGAGAGAGAGAGAGGAGGGGGGGAUGUACUAAGGUAGAGCAAUGUAGGAGUAUCAUUUUAUAAAGGAAAAUUUCGGUUUGUUCGGUUUAAUAUUAUCGGUUUGUUCGGCCCGUGUAACCGUCUCUCUCACUACACCGGUCCGGUUUAUUCGGUUUUAAUAUCUAAUAAUCUAUUCUAUCUAUAAACAUCAAUGACAAAAGAGUUUUCUUCGACACUUCAAUUUUUUUCUCCGCUGUCCCACUCUUCAAACAUCUAUAUCUGUAUCUAUAUACAUCUAUGAAAAGAGAGUUUUUUUUAGCCUAAGUGUCAACAAUUUUCUUCUUCUUACACCCACUCUUCACACAUGGAAAUUAUUACCUACACCGGGUGUAUAAGUAUAUCACAUAAACCAAAUAAAAUUUGUUAAUAAUAAAUAUAGUAAAAUCAAAAUUAAUUUGAAAGAUGUAAUAUAUAUUAUAUAUAAAGCCUAUAUAAAAAAACGUACUGAGAAAGUCUAUAUAUACAUAUAUGAAAAGAGAGUUUUUUUAGCCAAGUGUCAAUCUCACUUCAAUUUUUUCCUUUUUGUUAGCUUAAAUGGGCCAGCAUCCAACCCUGUGGCGGUAGGCCAUAUGGGCCGAGUCAUGUUCGAAACGGGAUAAGGCUGGAUUGGGCCAAGUCAUGUUCGAAAUGGCGUGAGUCUGGUUCGGCCAAGUCACAAUCGAGAUCUGUGGGCGCUAUAUCUAUACACUUUAAGUGAAUUAAUUGCAUAUUUCUAACAGCUCAAGCUUUUGGAAUUAAUGGUUUGCGCCAACGAUUCGACACUUCUUACUCCCACUCUUCACGCAUCCAAAUUAUUACCUACACCGGGUGUAUAAGUAUAUCACAUAAACCAAAUAAAACUUUUUAAUAAUAAAUAUAGUAAAAUUAAAAUUAAUCUGAAAGAUGCAAUAUAUAUUAUAUACAAAGUCUAUAUAAAAAAACGUACCGAGAAAGUCUAUAUACAACUAUGAGAGUUUUUUUAGCCAAGUCUCAAUCUCACUUCAAUUUUCUCCUUCUUACUCCCGCUCCUCAAUCAUGAAAAUUAUUACCUACACCGGGUGGGUGUAUAAGUAUAUCACAUAAACCAAAUAAAUUUUUUUAAUAAUAAAUAUAGUAAAAUCAAAAUUAAUCUGAAAGAUGCAAUAUAUAUUAUAUACAGAGCCUAUAUAAAAAAAUGUACUGAGUUUGAAGUUUUAUAGUAGAGUUUAGAAAUUAGGCGUAUAAGAUAUAUAUAGGUAUACAUGCGGUUACGCAAAAAUAUCAAUCCCACUUCAAUUCCUCUCUCUCUCUCUCUCUCUCUCUCUCCCCGUAAAAAUGAAAAUUAUUGCCUAUACAGGGUUAUUAGUAUAUCACAUAAACCUAACUAAUAUUUUUGAUAAUGAAUAUAGUAGCUAAUCUGGGGGAUGCAAUGUAUAUUAUAUACAAAGUCUGUAUAUAAAAAAAGUACUGAAUUUGAAUUUUUAUAAUAGAGUUUGGAAGUACAUUGCAUAAGAUAUAGAUAAACACGCGGUUCACAGAAUAAUUUCUCCUUUGCCAUCCUAAAUGCUCAUUGAUUUUUUUAUCUUUUUUCUCAAAUUCUUUCUCACACAUGAUUUUAUAAAAUAGUUUAAUUUACUAAUAAAAAAUACUUUUAAUUACUAAUAGAUCUCACAUUUCUCUUAUCCUCUUUAUCUUCUUCUAUAUUUUUAGCCAAAUUUCUUUAUAUUUCUUCAAAUAUAUUAUUUCUUAUUUAAAUAUUUAUAAUUUUAUAAAAUUAUCUAAUUAAUAAUGAAUGAAUUGUUUAAAAUUUUUCUUUAAACAAAUAUUAUGAUAAAAUUACUUAAUUAAAUAUCAUUAAUAUAUAUAUAUAUAUAUGAUGUAUUAAUAAUUUUAAUUAUUUAAUAUUAUUGGCCAUUUACUUAUAUAUAUAUAUAGAGAGAGAGAGAGAGAGAGAGAGAGAGAGAGAGAGAGAGGGGGGUACUUCUUUUUGUAGGAUGAAUAAAACUAGAUCUACUAGAUGGCUAGGAUAGAGAUAGAGAAUCUGAUCUUAGUGGUUAUGCUAUAUAUGCUUUAGAAAGACCCCAUUAGGAUCUUGCACCCCUACUUUAAUUGUACCGUAGACCAGCUUUAAAAUAUGUAUCACAUAUAAAUUUAUAUUGUAUAAUAAAUUAUUUAAAUAUUUUUUGUUAUAUUUUAUUUUACAAUACUAAUUAUUAAAUAUUUUAUUAAUUAUUUAAUAUACUAUAUGGUAUAUGAAUCAUUACUAGGUGUAAGUAAAAAUUUAUUCUCUUUCUUAAAACUAUGAGUGCAUUAUAUUAAGUAUUUUCUGCACCGAAUGUAUAUGAGCAUCGGGUGUAUAUGUGUACACAUAUCACAUACUUAAAACUCUUUAAUAGAGAUUUUAAAAUCUAAUUCAUUAAAUAGAAUUUAAAUUAUUAACUUUAUAGUUCAUAUAUGCUCAAUUAAAUUUUGAUAUUGAAACAUUUAUUAUCUAAUUAAGUUGCGGUAUAUUGAAUGUUAAUAUAUAUUAUGUGCAUGUAAGAAUUUCUUUUUUUCAAUCAAUUUUAACAAGAUAAAGACACCUUCGCCUUUUUGAUAAAUUGAAAUAAGUUUUUCAAUUUUAAUUUUUUAAUCAAAAAAAUUAUUUAUAGAAUAGUUUCAAAAACUAUUUGAUUAAACUUUUAAAUAAAAUUGGUAGAAAAAUUUAACUCUUAUGAUAUUGAAAAUUAAGAAAAUAUUAAUAAAAAUGUUAUUUUUUGUUAAUGUACAUACGAUUACUUUAUAAAUUUUUUUAUUUAGUUAUAAUUUUUUAAUCUUAAAAUUUUAAUAAUUAUAUAUUUUAAUUGACUAAAAUACUAUCUAUUCGCUGCAAAGCGCAGGUCCUUCACUAGUAACAUAAUGAAACCCCAGUUGGAUCCACAGGGCACCCAGAGGGCAAGGUACAGAUGGGGUCCAGCUGGGGGAGAGGGGAGGGGGAGUUUUUUUUUUUCCCUCUCUAUUAAAAUUUUUUCUCUCUUCGUAUAUGGAAAAGAAGAUUUGUAAUUUUUUUAAAAGUUCAAUCUAAUUUUUUAUUUUUUAUUAUAAAAUUUAAAAUAUAUAAAUAAUUUUUAAAUAGUUUAGAUUGUUUGUGUUAAAUAUAAAUUUUACUUUUAUAAUAUUGAACAUUUAGAUAUAGAUUGUACAAUAAAAAAAAAAAAAAUUGAUGCAGUUUAAAUUAAUUUUAUAUUUUACUAAAUUUAGUUGUGAGAAUUCCAUAAAAUAUACUAACUAAAUUUGUAGAGCUAAGCGAUGCAUUCAGAUUUUGAUGUCAAAAUAUCAUUGACGUACUGACUCAAAUCUAAUAUAUAUAAAAGUUAGAUAAUAAAAACAAAAUUUUGAAAGAUUGGAUAACUGAUUCAAAAUGGUUCAUAAUUGAGAAAAGUUUUAUACAUUUUUAUUUUUAUUUUAAUGUCAAACUUCAAUGCCAUAUUUAUAGUCUAAUAAGUGAUAAAUUUUACAUUUAAAAUUUUUGAAAUAUCCAAAAUAUGAUUGGUCGACUUUUAAUUUUAACAAUUAGGCUUUUAAAAUUCAUUCGAUAGUUUAACAUAUUAUUUCCUCAUAUGAAAUUGCUAAUUAAGCAAAACUUGUCAAUACUCAACUCUAACUUCGUUUGUAAAAAAAAUAAAACAUAAAAAAAAGUAAAUUGUGCUUUUGGUUAGUACUCGAGAUCAAAGUCAAUCGUCUCUAAUGUAAGUGGCAAAGGACUUGAUGGUUAGUACUCGAGGUCCCAAGUUUGAAUCCUAGUUGAUUUACAUUUUCAGCUAAGUUUAUUUUUAAAAGAAAUAAACGAAACAGGUAGCAUGCUUACCUUUCUCUCUCAAAAAAAAAAAAAUUGAUGUUCAAAAUAUAUAACAGGUAGUAUGCUAUCUUUCUUUCAAAAAAAAAAAAAAUAAUGUUCAAAAUAUGGAACUGUCAUACGUAUUAGCCUUUCUAAUGUCAUAAAAUACUACAUCCAACAAAUUGUAUUUUAAUUUACAGAGCUAUACCGGAAGAUAUCCUAUGGGAUACAUCAAACUUACAUGUCCAGUGACUCAUGGGUGGAAUUUUAGCAGCACGUCUUUGGGAUAUACUUUACACCAUUGCAGGGAAUAGUUUCUCUUCCAUGUAUCCUUAGAAAAUGCUGCACGCCCAAAUGAAUCUCACUGGUGAGAAAAAAAAAAAAAAUUAUACUAGUAUAGCACCCGCGCUUCGCUGCGGUUAGGUAAAUUAUAAAUAGUUUAUAUAAAUUUUUUUGCAAAAUCUCAACAACCUCAAUGAGGUAUAUCGCAAUUCUUGUUCAUUUUGUAAAGUAAGAAGAUAAAGAUUAUCGCCAUUCAAAAAAGAGUAAGAAAAUAUAAAGAGAUUAUUUGCAUGCAGCCGACAGCCUAGUAGCCUCUUGUAUAACACCAUAUUAUCCUGCUUCGUGCAAAAGUGCUCUCUGAAAAAUAGACCCUCAAUGCUUGCUUUAACUGGUAAACUAUUUUGUUGGUAAAACUCAAUAUUGUCGAACAUCAAAGCUUUUUGUUUUUGUUAGAUGUGACUCGAAAUUGAUAAUCGACUUAAGUUCGGAUUUUCGACUCGCCAACAGUUUCGCGGUGCGACCAAAUUGAAAAAUAAAAUUAUGAAUGAAAAAUAAAUGUCCGUGGUGGGUAGCAGAUCGAAUCCGAAACCCAUUAAGAGUUUUCCUUUUUGUUUUUGCCCUAGAGGCGUGAGAUCGUGGCCGUUUGUACUCUCUGAAUAUUGUAUUCCCUUUUUUUGUUUGAUAGUGAUGUUCUCUCUUCUCUUGUCCGUGAUUUUUCACUGUAAAGAAUUUUUUUCGUAAAUCUGUGUAUUUUUCUUUAGUUUUUGCUUGUGAUUUGUUUAUUUUGCGUUCGCCAUUUCGUUUCUGUUUGUGUGUUUGUUGUAAUAAUUUUUUACCCAACUUAUUUAUGUCUCAACCAGAUUCUGCAAGGCUACAUAUAAAUGGAGCUAAAAUUUUUCCUACUUCUACACGCACGUACUUGGCUAAUAAUAAUGUAAAAUCUUACGCAUAGAUUCAAAUAUAUAAGACUGAUUUUUAUCUCUACUGGAUUGCUUAAGUGGAGUAGAGAUGGUGCUAAAGGAUGUGGGCUAUCCAAUGAAGGUUGGGAGUGCAGUAGCUGCUGCAGCUGCUUAUCUUCAGAACAGUACCCCUCCCACCCCCUCUAGAAUCUAAGUUAAAUUGCCUUCUUUGUAAUCUCAUUCAGAAGGCUGAAGCCCUUGAUAAAUACUGUACCACUACAUCUAAACCAAUUAUAUUUGAGUAUAUAUGGUAUUAAUUAAUCUCUUCCAAAAUAAAAUAAAAUAAAAACUUGUCUCGAGUUAAAAUGUUAGAUUUACUCAAAUCAAAGUAAUUAUAUGUUCCCUCUCUAUUCUGUAAAAGAUUGUAGCAAAUAAGAGCACAUGAUUAUCGUGCAAUGUUCAUCUGAGCCGAUCGACUCCCUCUCAACGACGUUUUUAAGGACGCUGCCGUCCACCACCACGACCACCAUCUGAACCAGUUAUGCCGUUGCCGACCGCGAGCAUCACCUUCUGCAUCUCGGCCCAUCGACUCCAAAGUGGGCUUCGAGGAGCCGGAGGCUCGAUCAUCAGCUCUCCGGCUAUCUCCUUAAGGUGAGCCGGCCAUCCUGGUCGGCGUCGAGGCUUGUGAACCGAUCCUCAACAGACAUGUCGAACGCUGCGGCGUCCUCAACAAAGCUGAGGAUGGUGGCGCCAUCCAAAACCUCGACAUUUAUAUAGGGGAGACAAGAGGAGAAGGGGAGGGGAGGGGAGAGAAGAAAAGGAUAAGAUCUGAGGAGAGAAGAAAAAGGAAGAGAGAGAAAGGAGGAAAAAGAGAUGCAGGAGGAGAGAGCGAGAGAGAGAAAAAAAGGUUGGAGGAGAGGAUGGAGGUAAAAGAGGAGAGAAAGAGCGAGAGAGAGAGAGAGAUAGAGAGGAUGGAGGUGAAAGAGGAGAGAGAGAUAGCGGAAAGAGAGAGAAAG
Molecule: long non-coding RNA, 55521 nt
Filed under: Ananas comosus (pineapple)
Lineage: Eukaryota; Viridiplantae; Streptophyta; Magnoliopsida; Poales; Bromeliaceae
Description: long non-coding RNA (ACOM_LNC028640)
Source: RNAcentral